GAUGUAUGUUGUCUUUUCCUAUAGUGGUGUUAUGUGAACGUCGACUACAUGACACUUCACCAUUAUUUGGGCCUAGAGGAAGGCAUGGUGAAGUAAUAAGUAGAUGAUGGGUUGCUAGAGUGAUAGAAGCUUAAACCCUAGUUUAUGUGUUGCUUCGUUAGGGGCUGAUAUGGAUCCAUACGCUUAAUGUUGUGGUUAGGUUUACCUUAAUACUUCUUUUUGUAGUUGUGGAUGCUUGCAAUAGGGGUUAAUCAUAAGUGGGAUGCUUGUCCAAGUUAGGGCAGUACCCAAGUACCGGUCCACCCACAUAUCAAAUUAUCAAAGUACCGAACACGAAUCAUAUGAACGUGAUGAAAACUAGCUUGAGGAUAAUUCCCAAUGUGUCCUCGGGAGCUCCUUUAUCAUUAUUAGAAUUUGUCCAGGCUUAUACUUUGCUACAUAAAGGAUUGGGCCACCUUGAUGCACUUUAUUUACUUUAUUUACUUGUUGCUCGUUACUAUUUAUCUUAUCACAAAACUAUCUAUCACCUACUAUUUCAGUGCUUGCAAAGAAAACCUUACCGAAAACCACUUAUCAUUUCCUUCUGCUCCUUGUUGGGUUCAACACUCUUACUUAUCGAAAGGACUAUGAUUUACCCCCUACACUUGUGGGUCAUCAAGACUCUUUUCUGGCGCCAUUGUCGGGGAGUGUAGCGCUUUUGGUGAGUGCAACUUGGUAAGGAAACAUUCAUAUAAUGUGCUGAAAUUUUCUGUUACUUGUCACUAUGGAAACUAAUCCUUUGAGGUUCUUGUUUGGGGUAUCUUCACCCCAACUAGAAGAGCAAAGAGUUGCUCCUCAAGUGUCAAGUAUCUUUGCUUGCAAAGUGCUUGGGACUUAAUUUCCAUGAACCGGUAUUGUAAGUAAAAAUUCUUCAGCAUACAUUAGCCCCCUAGUGUCAAGUAUCUUUGCUUGCAAAGUGCUUGGGACUUAAUGUUAUCUUACCAUGAUUCUGACUAUAACCCGGCAUCAAUGCAGGCCACCAUAAGUCAAUUUGAGUCGGAGAUUGCUGACCUAAAGAGCCGCCGUGGCCGCUCAAGAACUUGAAAUUCAAAAGGCCAACUCCAAAUUUGAAUUCAGUGUCUCUGAACAAGAGAAGUUGAAGAAGAAUUUUGAGGCGGAGAAGAAAAUCUGGGCUGAUGAGAAGGCCUCACUAGUAACCCGGGUCUAGACAGCAGAAACAUCACUUGCAGAAGCAACAGCCGAGCUGUCCGGCUUAAAGCGCCAGAUAUCUCAAAUGGUCUCAGCAAUCUUCGGUAAGUUACUGUAUAUAACCUCAAAUAUUGUAAUCCUUCCUUUGAUGACUAUUGUAAUUGUUAUCUCCGGCUCACCUUAUGUUUAUGAACGCAGGCCCCAGGAGCACAAACCUCAAGUAGAACAUGUUGAUCAAACUGAAAGCGGUUUACACUCUAGUGGAGAAACUGUAGACCGGGUCACAACGUGCUUUGGCUGUUGUAGCUUUAUCGACGUUCCUCAUCUCCUUCAAGAUGUGCUAAAGCGGCUUGCCGUGCUACCCCAGCGGGUCCAAGAGCUAAGACGGGCAUCUGCCAGAGCCGGGGCUAUAGCCGCAUUGAGCCGGGCCAAGGCGUGGCUCCAGAGUUAGACCCGGCAGACAUUGCUCUUGGGUAUCCCAGCUUGAAGGAAGACGGCUCUUUAUUCAACGAGACAGACUUCACCGCCUGUGUGAAAGACAUACGUCCUAUGGCUACUCUCGUUGGGAAUGAUACUGACCUUACCAAACAUCAGUCAGGCUAUGACAGUGAGAACCGGAGAAUUCCAACACCUCACUAUGAUGAAGUCAACCUGAUCCCUCCAACUCGUAAGCAUACCUUUGCCCCUGAAGUGGACCCAACCGGUUUAAUAGAUGAUGAAGCUGAGUUUGAAGCCUUGAGUGGCAUUGACUGGGCCUCGUCAACCUUCCAGGACAGGGCAGCAGACGGAGAGGCGAAGAAGGAUAACCCGGAAUCUUCAAUCCAACCAAAGGAGUGAACCUCCAGACGUUUAUGACUUUGCGAAAACAAUGCUUCAUUAUUCAGACUCAGGGAGUCUUGUAAUAGGGUAGAAAAACCUCUCGAUUUUUGUCAUGCAUUUGCGCAUGUUUACGGCGCUUAAUACUUUCGUAAGCCGCCAUCGCUAUAUAAUUCCAGCUUAUGUUGAUCUUUUAUUUCCUUGAUGUUAAAAAUUUGCUUGCCUUAUCCUGCAUAUAAAACAAGCAGAAUUCCCUUGGCGACUUAUCGCAUCGGGAGUCACAUAAGGUAUUGAUAACCCGGAGUGCGAACCAAAACAUCAUAUAAAGGCUGGUUUAUGAUUAUAUUUGUUAAACAUAAUCACAAUAGCAUACCUGCGAUCCUUUUGGUAACCUUGCCGGUUUAUGUGACCUAAAUCAUGAGGGUAAGUUUAACUCCUGAAAGUUGGCACAUAUGAUGUUCACCUGGCCCUUAACAACUAAAGUGACCAAUAUUUUAAACCGGUGGAACGAGAACCCCAUAGUACUUUCGAGAAAGGCCUCCCGAUAGUCAAACAUUUGCACUUACAAAGUUUGAUGAAUAAUAAACAAAAUUUAAAAGGCCUCUGAUUCGAAUACGAUCAGUGAACCGUUCCAAAGGGGUUAAGCUUAGAUUCGGAUACAAUCAUAUAGCCCCUAGUGGCUUUGGUGAUGUCGGUUAAGUGGGUAUCGACAGCUAUGUUCUCUUUGGUUCGAAUACGACCUAUGUUUGAACAGGAAGCCCCCAAGUGACCAUAAGAGUUGUUUAAUGACGCUGAUUCGAAUACGAUCCACGUCAGACCCAAAGGGGUUAAGCUAUGAUUCAAAUAUGAUCAAGAAGCCCCCAAGUGGGUUUGGCAGUAUGCCGAUCAAGUGGGUAUCGACAGCUAUGUUCUCUUUGGUUCGAAUACGACCUAUGUUUGAACAGAAAGCCCCCAAGUGACCAUGGAUAGAUUCAGAUAUGAUCAUAAGCCGGACCAAAGGGAAAGCCGGAUUCAGAUAUGAUCCGCUCCCUGUUGGUUGUUUCCACCACCUGAUAAAGAAGACAUGUAAACCUUUGAGGGUGAAAAGAACAGAGGUCCUGCUUUAUUGCUUCAUAUAACAUAUACAUCGUCAAAAAAUAUAUACAUCUUGAGAGUCGGUGGCUCAAGUAUAGUAAGGCCGAAGAUGGGUGAUAUGCCACGGCCGGCGGGUCUCCUCCUCCGACUUACGUGAGUCUUUGUGCUCUCGAACAUCGAUAAGGUAGUAUGAGCCAUUGUUCAGAUUCUUGCUGACCACAAAGGGUCAUUCCCAAGGAGGGGAUAGCUUGUGCAUAUCAGACUGAUCCUGGAUGAGCUGGAGCACUAAGUCGCCUUCCUGAAAGGUUCUGCUUCUAAUCUGGUGGCUGUGAUAGCGGUGCAGGUCUUGCUGGUAAAUCGCCGAGUGGGCUAUUGCCAAGUCUCGCUCCUCAUCCAACAAGUCAAGUGCAUCCUGACGAGCUUUUUCGUUAUCAGCCUCAACAUAAGCCGCUACGCGGGGUGAGUCGUGCUGGAUGUCACUUGGCAGGACUGCCUCUGCUCCGUAUACCAUGAAGAAAGGUGUGUAACCUGUAGAUCUAUUAGGCGUAGUGUUGAUGCUCCACAGUACAUAGGGUAACUCCUCCACCCAACAACCCGGAGUCCGUUGUAAGGGGACCAAGAGCCGGGGUUUGAUACCCUUCAGGAUCUCCUGAUUAGCUCUUUCUGCUUGACCAUUGGAUUGAGGAUGAGCAACAGCCGAAACAUCAAGCCGAAUAUGUUCUCGUUGACAGAACUCUUCCAUGGCACCCUUGGAGAGAUUAGUGCCAUUAUCAGUUAUGAUGCUGUGUGGAAAACCAAAAUGAAAGAUCACAUUUUUCAUGAACUGAACCGCCGUGGUUGCAUCACACUUACUGACCGGCUCUGCCUCAACCCACUUUGUAAACUUAUCCACUGCCACCAGGAGGUGUGUCUUUUUAUCCUUGGACCUCUUGAAAGGUCCAACCAUGUCAAGCCCCCAGACUGCGAAACGGCCAAGUAAUUGGAAUCAUCCUCAACUCUUGAGCCGGAACAUGAGCUCGUCAUGAGAAUUUUUGACAUCCGUCACAUUUGCUGACUAGAUCCUCCAUAUCAGCAUGAGCCGUCAGCCAAUAGAAACCAUGACGGAAAGCCUUGGCCACAAGAGAUUUUGAACCGGCAUGAUGACCACAAUCUCCUUCAUGGAUCUCACGAAGUAUCUCCUGACCCUCCGCAGGCGACACACAACGUUGAAACGCCCCAGUGACACUGCGGUGAUGUAACUCGCCAUGAACAAUCGUCAUAGAUUUGGACCGCCUGAUGAUUUUUCUCACCAAGGUCUCAUCCUCAGGCAACUCUCCCUGGGUCAUAUAGGCCAAAUAUGGCACUGUCCAAUCCGGGGUGAUGUGAAGAGCUGCCAUCAGCUGUGCCUCCGGGUCUGGCACUGCUAGUUCUUCCUCUGUAGGUACCUUGACAGAAGGAUUAUGCAAAACAUCGAGAAAGCUGUUAGGCGGCACCGGCUUACGCUGAGAUCCCAACUGGCUUAAAGCAUCAGCCGCCUCAUUCUUCCUUCGAUCAAUUGCUCCACUUGAUAACCUUUGCAGUGCCCAGCCACAGCAUUUACUUCAUGACGGUAAGCCGCCAUAAGGGGAUCCCUGGAGUCCCACUUUCCUGACACCUGUUGAGCCACGAGAUCUGAAUCGCCCAAGCACCUUACCUGGCUCAAAUUCAUCUCUUUGGCCAUCCGGAGACCAUGGAGUAAGGCCUCGUACUCAGCUGCAUUGUUAGUACAAGGAAACAUAAGCCGGAGCACAUAACAAAAUUUGUCACCUCGAGGGGAAGUUAAAACAACUCCAGCCCCUGAGCCUUCUAACAGCCUGGACCCAUCAAAGUGAAUAGUUCAAUAUGUGUUAUCUGGCUUCUCCUCAGGCGCCUGCAACUCUGUCCAAUGAUUAAUAAAAUCCACCAGGGCUUUAGACUUGAUAGCAGUCUGAGGCAUGUAUUUCAAACCAUGAGGCCCAAGCUCAGUGGCCCACUUGGCGACUCGUCCUGUGGCCUCUCUAUUCUUUAUGAUGUCUCCUAAGGGGGCAGAGCUUACCACAGUAAUAGGAUGACCUUGGAAGUACUGGUUCAGCUUCCGGCUUGCCAUGAACACUCUGUAAACAAGUUUCUGCCAAUGUGGAUACCUUUGUUUAGACUCAAUGAGCACCUCACUGAUGUAGUAAACCGGCCGUUGAACCGGAUGCUCCUUGCCAGCCUCCUUGCGCUCCACCAUGAUGGCAACACUGACGGCUCGUGCAUUAGCAGCCACAUAUAACAGUAACGGCUCCCUAUCAAUGGGAGCUGCAAGGACCGACGGCUCAGACAAGUGUCUCUUUAAAUCUUCAAAGGCAGUAUUAGCAGCAUCACUCCAGAGAAAAGUGUCCGUUUUCUUCAUCAUCUGAUACAGCGGUAGGGCCUUCUCACCUAACCGGCUUACGAACUGGCUUAAAGCAGCAACACGACCCGCCAGUCAUUGAACAUCAUUGAUGCACACCGGUUUAGCCAAAGAGGUGAUUGCCUUGAUCUUCUCCGGGUUAGCUUCAAUGCCUUUGUUUGAGACCAGAAAACCCAGAAGCUUGCCUGCAAGUACACCAAAUACACACUUGGCCGGGUUAAGCAUCAUCUUAUAAACCCGGAGAUUAUCAAAGGUCUCCUUUAAAUCAGAUAUCAAGGUUUCCUUCUCCCUGGAUUUCACCAUGAUGUCAUCCACAUAAGCAUGAACAUUGCGCCCAAUUUGAUCGUGGAGACAGUUCUGUACACAUCGCUGAUAAGUCGCUUGGGCACUCUUGAGCCCAAAUGGCAUAGAUACAUAGCAGAAGGCUCCGAACGGAGUGAUGAAAGCCGUCUUCUCCUGAUCCUUAACUGCCAUUUUGAUCUGACGAUAGCCAGAGUAAGCAUCCAAAAAGCUCAAUCGCUCGCAACCCGCCGUAGCAUCAAUGAUUUGAUCAAUACGGGGGAGGGCAAAGGGAUCAGCCGGACAAGCCUUAUUUAAGUCCGUGUAAUCCACACACAUCCCCCAGGUGCCGUUCUUCUUGAGCACGAGCAUCGGGUUAGCUAACUACUCCAGGUGAAAAACUUCAACAAUUAACCCAGCCGCUAAGAGCCGAGCGACCUCCUCUCCAAUAGCUUUCUGUCUUUCCUCAUUAAACCGUCGAAGAAAUUGCCUGACCGGCUUAUACUUCGGAUCAAUAUUAAGAGUGUGCUCAGCUAGUUCUCUCGGGACGCCCGGCAUGUCAGAAGGUUUCCAUGCAAAGAUGUCCCUGUUCUCACGGAUGAACUCGAUGAGCGCGCUUUCCUAUUUAGGAUCCAAGUUGGCACUGAUGCUAAACUGCUUAGAAGAGUCGCCUGGAGUAAAGUCAACAAGCUUCAUUUCAGCGGCCGAUUUAAACUUCAACACCGGGUCAUGCUCUGUAGUUGGCUUCUUCAGAGAGGUCAUAUCCGCCGGGUCAACAUUAUCUUGAUAAAACUUUAGCUCUUCUACUGCACAAACAGACUCAGCAUAAGCCGCGUCGCCUUCUUCACACUCCAAGGCUACCUUUCGACUCCCAUGCAUAGUGAUGGUGCCCUUGUGACCCGGCAUAUUGAGCUGCAGAUAAACAUAACACGGCCGUGCCAUGAACUUGGCAUAAGCCGGCCGCCCAAAUAGAGCAUGAUAUGGACUCUUGAUUUUGACCACCUCAAACGUCAAUUUCUCAGCCCUAGAAUCAUAUUCAUCUCCAAAGGCCACCUCCAAUUCAAUCUUACAGACCGGGUAUGCCGACUUACCAGGCACCACUCGAUGGAAAACGGUGUUGGAUGUCCUUAAAUUUUUGUCAGUCAAACCCAUGCGUUCGAAAGGUCUCGUAAUAGAGGAUGUUGAUACUGCUACCUCCGUCCAUGAGUACCUUGGUAAAUUUAUAUCCACCGACCUGAGGCGCCACCACCAAGGCUAACUGGCCCGGAUUAUCAACCCGGGGCGGGUGAUCUUCCCUGCUCCAUACAAUAGGCUGCUCUGACCACCUUAAGUAACGGGGAACUGCCGGCUCAACAGAGUUCACGGCCCUCUUAUGAACCUUCUGGUCACGCUUGCACAAGCUAGUGGUGAACACAUGAUACUGCCCACUAUUCAGCUGCUUCGGAUGGCUUUGAUAACCCGACUGCUGCUGCUGUUGUCCCUCCUGACCAGGCUGCUAUUGAUUAUAGCCGCUUUGAUUUCCUUGAAAGCCGGAACUUGAACCGCCGCCCGAGCCAUGAAAGCCGCCGGCUCCUGAGCCGCCGUCCGAUCCAUGAUUGCCAUCAAACGUGUUGGAAUUCUUGAAAGCCUUCAUGAUCGCGCAAUCUUUCCAUAAGUGGGUGGUGGGUCAUUCCCAGGUGCCGUGUCUCGGGCAAGGCUCAUUGAGUAGCUGCUCAAGAGAUGGGCCUGACCCGCCAGAUCGAGGGGGUGGUUUUCCCUUACGUCUCUGAUUGUUACCCUACGCAUUGGCAUUGGCCACAAACUCCGGGUUACCCUCAGCCUUAUGCUUGUUGCCUCCUUGAUUCAUCGGGUUAUGUUGCUGACCCUUUCCAUUGCCGUUCUUCUUUCCCUUCCCUGUCUUUUCCUCAUCAGACGCGGGAUCCUUGGUACUAUCAGAGUCGACGUAUUUGACUAAAGCUGCCAUUAGCGUACCCAUAUCAUUGCAAUCACGCUUAAGGCGCCCCAGUUUCUGUCUUAGCGGCUCAAAACGGCAAUUCUUCUCCAACAUGAGGACUUCAGAGCCGGCAUCCAUCUUAUCAGACGAAUGUAUUAUCUCCUUGACCCGGUGCACCCAAUGAGUUGUGGAUUCACCCUCCUCCUGCUUACAAUUUGUCAAGUCCACAAUCGACAUGGAUUGCUUGCAAGUGUCUUUGAAGUUCUAGAUGAAUCGGGCCUUUAGCUCUGCCCAUGAACUAAUGGAAUUGGGCGGCAAGCCCUUUAACCAAGACCGGGCCGUUCCAUCCAACAUCAUGGUGAAGUACUUAUCCAUUGUCGCGUCGCUGACCUCCAACAGCUCCAUGGCCAUCUCAUAACUUUCGAUCCACGCUCCGGGCUGUAAGUCGGCCGUGUAAUUCGGCACCUUUUGAGGUCCCUUGAAGUCCUUGGGUAGGCGUACAUUACGCAGAGUCGGCACCAAACAAGGAACACCGCCGGUUCUAGUAGCCACUCCCGUCUCAACGGAAGUCGUCGGAUACUCUGGGAAAUCUUGAUGAGCCAUCUGUUGAGCCGCUAGCUGAGCCGCUCGCUCGUUCUCCUGACGUAUUCGGUCUUGUACCGGGUUAUAGCCACCGGGCUGGUUACGGCGCUGGGCGUUGCUUGACAAAGCUUCUGACUCCAUGUGCCUGCUGUAACUUGGACUCCGGUUUUGACGAGGCGGUGCUAACCAAGGCGGUGGAGUCGAAUGAAUCAUGUGCCGGCUAUAAGAAUAAGUCUCUUGCUGAGCCAGGGCCGUCUGGACAAGUUCUCUAAUCCUCUGGGUCUCCACCGCUGUCGGAUCAUCACCGUCCACUGGAAGAGCCGUCAAACACGCCGAUGCUGCAAUUAAGUUCUCCAUGGGGUUGGAAAAGUGACCCGUUGGUAUUGGUACAUAACGGGGUGGAGCCAUACUCCCAUGAGGAGGUGCCAUCUCUCGAGGCUGAGUCGGUCCUCCUGCUCUGGCUGUCAUGAACUGAUUUGCUUCAGGCAGAUUGCUAGGGCCGGCACCGGCUGUAGCGAAAAGGUUCCGAGGGUCGUAAAUCGAAGGCAAACGGGAUUGAGUUUUCUGGUGCCUCCUUCUCAUCACCUCAUUAGAUGCGUUCAAGUUCAUCAUAAGCUGGAAAGCCUCUGACUAGAGCUGUUGCGCCCGUGCAUCCAAAGCCGCCCGUUCUGUAGCUAACCUGGUGUCCUCAGCUGCCAAGGCCUCCUUGGCCCGAGCUAUCUCCUCGCGCACCUGUGCCACCUCCGCGUUAUGCUCAUCUUGAUUUGCAGGAAUAACCAUGGCGGUUAACAGGGCCGUAAGCUUAUCCAUGAGAUCUAUCAGUAUCUAAGCCGGCGGGCUCACAGGGCCUCCUGCCCCGUCCGCUCCUGACCCGGACGUCAUUGCUGCAGCGGUUGUAGAGUUUUGGCCGGGUUGAGUCCCGGCCAUGAAGACUCGUGCCCAUCUUGGUGGCUCAUAGGGGUCCGGAAUACUGGGGCCAUCGGAACAGCCCCUAAGCACGCCAUCUUGCACUUGAUACAGCGAAUCUGUUGAAACGGCAAACGAAUCACCGUCAGAGAGGAAGGCCGUCUCACCACCAUCUUCAGAUCCUUCAGAAAGUUCCUCUCCGUGGAUGCAGCCCACGAAGGCACGCUUCAUGACGGGUUGAACUCGGGCGGGUCUCGCACGCUGAGCCGUCUCGACGAGGCCGGUGUAGUUGUCCGGCUCAGGGCCCGGCUCACCAAUCCGGCCGAUGAAGACGUGGAUUCCGCCGAAGGGGGCCCGGUACCUGUACUCAAUUGAGCCGGCAUCGGGGCCCCAGCCUUCGUUAUCGAUGUAGAUCUUGCCGCGGCGACUCUUGGUCAUCCGGCCAACUACGUAUCCCUUGAGCCCUUUGAAGCUGCCCUUCAAGAACUCAAAUCCACCGUGCGCUGUCCCCACUGUGGGCGCCAACUGUCGUGGAAUUGUCACGGCAGAUGUCCAUUUGCAAGGACUUAGUCGUGGAGCCAUCGCAACUAGGAAGCUUAAAGGGGUUAAUCGGGACAAAGGACACGAGAGAGUUAUGUUAGGGAACGUAGUAAUUUCAAAAAAAUUCCUACGCACACGCAAGAUCAUGGUGAUGGCAUAGCAACGAGAGGGGAGAGUAUUGUCCACGUACCCUCGUAGACUGUAAGCGGAAGCGUCAUGACAACGCGGUUGAUGUAGUCGUACGUCUUCACGAUCCGACCGAUCCAAGUACCGAACGUACGGCACCUCCGAGUUCAGCACACGUUCAGCUCGAUGACGGUCUCCGGCCUCCGAUCCAACAAAGCUCCGGAGAUGAGUUUCGUCAGCACGACAGUGUGGUGACGAUGAUGAUGUUCUACCGGCGCAGGGCUUCGCCUAAACUCCGCGACGAUAUGACCGAGGUGGAAUAUGGUGGAGGGGGGCACCGCACACGGCUAAGGAAUGAUCCGUAGAUCAACUUGUGUGUCCAUGGGUGCCCCCCCCCCCCGCCCCCGUAUAUAAAGGAGCCAGGGGGAGGAGGCGGCCGGCCAAGGAGGGCGCGCCAAGGGGGGAGUCCUACUCCCACCAGGAGUAGGACUCCCUUCUUUCCUAGUUGGAGUAGGAGAAGGGGGGAAAGAGGAGGAAGAGGGGAAGGAAAGGGGGGGCGCCGCCGCCCUUCCCUUGUCCUAUUCGGACUAGGAAGGGGAGGGGCGCGCGGCCCCCUCCUGCAUCCUUCCCUCUUCUCCCUCGAGGCCCAUGUAGGCCCAAUAACCCCCCGGGGGCUUCCGGUAACCUCCCGGUUCUCCGGUAAAAUGCCGAUUUCACCCGGAACCAUUCCGAUGUCCAAACAUAGGCUUCCAAUAUAUCAAUCUUUAUGUCUCGACCAUUUCGAGACUCCUCGUCAUGUCCGUGAUCACAUCCGGGACUCCGAACAAACUUCGGUACAUCAAAACUUAUAAACUCAUAAUAAAACUGUCAUCGUAACGUUAAGCGUGCGGACCCUACGGGUUCGAGAACUAUGUAGACAUGACCUAGAACUAUUCUCGGUCAAUAACCAAUAGCGGGACCUGGAUGCCCAUAUUGGUUCCUACAUAUUCUACGAAGAUCUUUAUCGGUCAAACCGCAUAACAACAUACGUUGUUCCCUUUGUCAUCGGUAGGUUACUUGCCCGAGAUUUGAUCGUCGGUAUCCAAUACCUAGUUCAAUCUCGUUACCGGCAAGUCUCUUUACUCGUUACGUAAUGCAUCAUCCGUAACCAACUCAUUGGUUACAUUGCUUGCAAGGCUUAUAGUGAUGUGCAUUACCGAGAGGGCCCAGAGAUACCUCUCCGACAAUCGAAGUGACAAAACCUAAUCUCGAAAUACGCCAACUCAACAUGUACCUUCGGAGACACCUGUCGUACUCCUUUGUAAUCACCCAGUUACAUUGUGACGUUUGGUAGUACCCAAAGUGUUCCUCCGGUAAAAGGGAGUUGCAUAAUUCUCAUUGUUACAGGAACAUGUGUAAGUCAUGAAGAAAGCAAUAGCAGUAUACUAAACGAUCAAGUGCUAGGCUAACGGAAUGGGUCAUGUCAAUCACAUCAUUCUCCUAAUGAUGUGAUUCCAUUAAUCAAAUGACAACACAUGUCUAUGGUUAGGAAACAUAACCAUCUUUGGUCAAUGAGCUAGUCAAGUAGAGGCAUACUAGUGACUAUAUGGUUGUCUAUGUAUUCACACAUGUAUCAUGUUUCCGGUUAAUACAAUUCUAGCAUGAAUAAUAAACAUUUAUCAUGAUAUGAGGAAAUAAAUAAUAACUUUAUUAUUGCCUCUAGGGCAUAUUUCCUUCAGUCUCCCACUUGCACUAGAGUCAAUAAUCUAGAUUACAUAGUAAUGAUUCUAACACCCAUGGAGUCUUGGUGCUGAUCAUGUUUUGCUCGUGAGAGAGGCUUAGUCAACGGGUCUGCAACAUUCAGAUCCGUAUGUAUCUUGCAAACCUCUAUGUCUCCCACUUGGACUUGGUCCCGAAUGGAAUUGAAGCGUCUCUUGAUGUGCUUGGUCCUCUUGUGAAAUCUGGAUUCCUUUGCCAAGGCAAUUGCACCAGUAUUGUCACAGAAGAUCUUCAUUGGUCCCGAUGCACUAGGUAUGACACCUAGAUCGGAAAUGAACUCCUUCAUCCAGACUCCUUCAUUUGCUGCUUCUGAAGCAGCUAUGUACUCCGCUUCACAUGUAGAUCCCGCCACGACGCUUUGUUUAGAACUGCACCAACUUACAGCUCCGCCGUUUAAUAAAAACACGUAUCCGGUUUGCGAUUUAGAAUCAUCCGGAUCUGUGUCAAAGCUUGCAUCGACAUAACCAUUUACAACUAGCUCUUUGUCACCUCCAUAUACGAGAAACAUAUCCUUAGUCCUUUUCAGGUAUUUCAGGAUGUUCUUGACCGCUGUCCAGUGAUCCACUCAUGGAUUACUUUGGUACCUUCCUGCCAAACUUAUUGCUAAGCAUACGUCAGGUCUGGUACACAGCAUUGCAUACAUGAUAGAGCCUAUGGCUGAAGCAUAGGGAACCUCUUUCAUUUUCUCUCUAUCUUCUGAUGUGGUCGGGCAUUGAGUUUGACUCAACUUCACACCUUGUAGCACGGGCAAGAACCCUUUCUUUGCCUGAUCCAUUUUGAACUUUUUCAAAAUUUUAUCAAGGUAUGUACUUUGUGAAAGUCCUAUUAAGCGUCUUGAUCUAUCUCUAUAGAUCUUGAUGCCCAAUAUGUAAGUAGCUUCACCGUGGUCUUUCAAUGAAAAACUUUUAUUCAAGUAUCCCUUUAUGCUAUCCAGAAAUUCUAUAUCAUUUCCAAUUAAUAAUAUGUCAUCUACAUAUAAUAUUAGAAAUGCUACAGAGCUCCCACUCACUUUCUUGUAAAUAUAGGCUUCUCCCAAAGUCUGUAUAAAACCAUAUGCUUUGAUCACACUAUCAAAACGUUUAUUCCAACUCCGAGAUGCUUGCACCAGUCCAUAAAUGGAUCGCUGGAGCUUGCAUACUUUGUUAGCACCUUUUGGAUCAACAAAACCUUCUGGCUGCAUCAUAUACAACUCUUAUUCCAGAAAUCCAUUCAAGAAUGCAGUUUUGACAUCCAUUUGCCAAAUUUCAUAAUCAUGAAAUGUAGCAAUAGCUAACAUGAUUCGGACAGACUUAAGCAUCGCUACGGGUGAGAAAGUCUCAUCGUAGUCAACCCCUUGAACUUGUCGAAAACCUUUCGCAACAAGUCGAGCUUUAUAGACAGUUAUAUUACCAUCAGUGUCAGUCUUCUUCUUAAAGAUCCAUUUAUUCUCAAUGGCUUGCCGAUCAUCGGGCAAGUCAACCAAAGUCCAUACUUUGUUUUCAUACAUGGAUCCCAUCUCAGAUUUCAUGGCCUCUAGCCAUUUUGCAGAAUCUGGGCUCAUCAUCGCUUCCUCAUAGUUCGUAGGUUCAUAAUGGUCAAGUAACAUGACUUCCAGAAUAGGAUUACCGUACCACUCUGGUGUGGAUCUUACUCUGGUAGACCUAUGAGGUUCAGUAGAAACUUGAUCUGAAGUUUCAUGAUCAAUAUCAUUAGCUUCCUCACUAGUUGGUGUAGUUGUCACAGGAACCGGUUCUUGUGAUGAACUACUUUCCAACAAGGGAGCAGAUACAGUUAUCUCAUCAAGUUCUACUUUCCUCCCACUCACUUCUUUCGAGAGCAACUCCUUCUCUAGAAAGGAUCCGAUUUUAGCAACGAAAAUCUUGCCCUCAGAUCUGUGAUAGAAGGUGUACCCAAUAGUCUCUUUUGGGUAUCCUAUGAAGACACAUUUCUCCGAUUUGGGUUCGAGCUUAUCUGGUUGAAGUUUCUUCACAUAAGCAUCGCAGCCCCAAACUUUAAGAAACGACAACUUUGGUUUCUUGCCAAACCACAGUUCAUAAGGUGUCGUCUCAAUGGAUUUUGAUGUUGCCCUAUUUAACGUGAAUGCGGCCGUCUCUAAAGCAUAACCCCAAAAUGAUAGCGGUAAAUCAGUAAGAGACAUCAUAGAUCGCACCAUAUCUAGUAAAGUACGAUUACGACAUUCAGACACACCAUUUCGUUGUGGUGUUCCGGGUGGCAUGAGUUGCGAAACUAUUCCGCAUUGUUUCAAGUGUAGACCAAACUCGUAACUCAAAUAUUCUCCUCCACGAUCAGAUCGUAGAAACUUUAUUUUCUUGUUACGAUGAUUUUCCACUUCACUCUGAAAUUCUUUGAACUUUUCAAAUGUUUCAGACUUGUGUUUCAUUAAGUAGAUAUACCCAUAUCUGCUCAAAUCAUCUGUGAAGGUGAGAAAAUAACGAUAUCCGCCGCGAGCCUCAACAUUCAUUGGACCACAAACAUCAGUAUGUAUGAUUUCCAAUAAAUCAGUUGCCCGCUCCAUAGUUCCGGAGAACGGCGUUUUAGUCAUCUUGCCCAUAAGGCACGGUUCGCAAGUACCAAGUGAUUCAUAAUCAAGUGAUUCCAAAAGCCCAUCGGUAUGGAGUUUCUUCAUGCGCUUUACACCGAUAUGACCCAAACGGCAGUGCCACAAAUAAGUUGCACUAUCGUUAUCAACUCUGCAUCUUUUGGUUUCAACACUAUGAAUAUGAGUAUCACUACUAUCGAGAUUCAAUAAAAAUAGACCAUUCUUCAAGGGUGCAUGACCAUAAAAGAUAUUACUCAUAUAAAUAGAACAACCAUUAUUCUCUGAUUUAAAUGAAUAACCGUCUUGCAUCAAACAAGAUCCAGAUAUAAUGUUCAUGCUCAACGUUGGCACCAAAUAACAAUUAUUUAGGUCUAAAACUAAUCCCGAUGGUAGAUGUAGAGGUAGCGUGCCGACCGUGAUCACAUCAACUUUGGAACCAUUUCCCACGCGCAUCGUCACCUCGUCCUUAGCCAAUCUUCGCUUAAUCCGUAGUCCCUGUUUCGAGUUGCAAAUAUUAGCAACAGAACCAGUAUCAAAUACCCAGGUGCUACUGCGAGCAUUAGUAAGGUACACAUCAAUAACAUGUAUAUCACAUAUACCUUUGUUCACUUUGCCAUCCUUCUUAUCCGCCAAAUACUUGGGGCAGUUCCACUUCCAGUGUCCAGUCUGCUUGCAGUAGAAGCACUUAGUUUCAGGCUUAGGUCCAGACUUGGGUUUCUUCUCUUGAGCAGCAACUUGUUUGCUGUUCUUUUUGAAGUUCCCCUUCUUCUUCCCUUUGCCCUUUUUCUUGAAACUGGUGGUCUUGUUAACCAUCAACACUUGAUGCUCCUUCUUGAUUUCUACCUCCGCAGCUUUUAGCAUUGCAAAGAGCUCGGGAAUAGUCUUGUUCAUCCCUUGCAUAUUAUAGUUCAUCACGAAGCUCUUGUAGCUUGGUGGCGGUGAUUGAAGAAUUCAGUCAAUGACACUAUCAUCAGGAAGAUUAACUCCCGGUUGAAUCAAGUGAUUAUUAUACCCAAACAUUUUGAGUAUAUGUUCACUGACAGAACUAUUCUCCUCCAUCUUGCAGCUGUAGAACUUAUUGGAGACUUCAUAUCUCUCAAUCCGGGCAUUUGCUUGAAAUAUUAACUUCAACUCCUGGAACAUCUCAUAUGCUCCAUGACGUUCAAAACGUCGUUGAAGACCCGGUUCAAAGCCGUAAAGCAUGGCACACUGAACUAUCGAGUAGUCAUCAGCUUUGCUCUGCCAGACGUUCUUAACGUCGUCAGUUGCAUCAGCAGCAGGCCUGGCACCCAGCGGUGCUUCCAGGACGUAACUUUUCUGUGCAGCAAUGAGGAUAAUCCUCAGGUUACGGACCCAGUCCGUGUAAUUGCUACCAUCAUCUUUCAACUUUGCUUUCUCAAGGAACGCAUUAAAAUUCAACGAAACAACAGCACGAGCCAUCUAUCUACAAACAAACAUAGACAAGCAAAAUACUAUCAGGUACUAAGUUCAUGAUAAAUUUAAGUUCAAUUAAUCAUAUUACUUAAGAACUCCCACUUAGACAGACAUCUCUCUAGUCAUCUAAGUGAACACGUGAUCCAAAUCAACUAAACCAUGUCCGAUUAUCACGUGAGAUGGAGUAGUUUCAAUGGUGAACAUCACUAUGUUGAUCAUAUCUACUAUAUGAUUCACGUUCGACCUUUCAGUCUCCGUGUUCCGAGGCCAUAUCUGUAUAUGCUAGGCUCGUCAAGUAUGACCUGAGUAUUCCGCGUGUGCAACUGUUUUGCACCCGUUGUAUUUGAACGUAGAGCCUAUCACACCCAAUCAUCACGUGGUGUCUCAGCACGAAGAACUUUCGCAAUGGUGCAUACUCAGGGAGAACACUUCUUGAUUAUUAGUGAGAGAUCAUCUUAAAAUGCUACCGUCAAUCAAAGCAAGAUAAGAUGCAUAAAGGAUAAACAUCACAUGCAAUCAAUAGAAGUUAUAUGAUAUGGUCAUCAUCAUCUUGUGCUUGUGAUCUCCAUCUUCGAAGCACCGUCGUGAUCACCAUCGUCACGGUGCGACACCUUGAUCUCCAUCGUAGCAUCGUUGUCGUUACGCCAUCUAGUGCUUCUACGACUAUCGCUACCGCUUAGUGAUAAAGUAAAGCAAUUACAGGGCGUUUGCAUUUCAUACAAUAAAGCGACAACCAUAUGGCUCCUGCCAGUUGCCGAUAACUUCGGUUACAAAACAUGAUCAUCUCAUAUAAUAAAAUAUAGCAUCACGUCUUGACCAUAUCACAUCACAACAUGCCCUGCAAAAACAAGUUAGACGUCCUCUACUUUGUUGUUGCAAAUUUUACGUGGCUGCUACGGGCUUAGCAAGAACCGUUCUUACCUACGCAUCAAAACCACAAUGAUAGUUCGUCAAGUUGGUGCUGUUUUAACCUUCGCAAGGACCGGGCGUAGCCACACUCGAUUCAGCUAAAGUGAGAGAGACAGACACCCGCCAGCCACCUUUAAGCACGAGUGCUCGUAACGGUGAAACCAGUCUCGCGUAAGCGUACGCGUAAUGUCGGUCCGGGCCGCUUCAUCUCACAAUACCGCCGAACCAAAGUAUGACGUGCUGGUAAGCAGUAUGACUUGUAUCGCCCACAACUCAUUUGUGUUCUACUCGUGCAUAUAACAUCAACGCAUAAAACCUAGGCUCGGAUGCCACUGUUGGGGAACGUAGUAAUUUCAAAAGAAUUCCUACGCACACGCAAGAUCAUGGUGAUGGCAUAGCAACGAGAGGAGAGAGUAUUGUCCAUGUACCCUCGUAGACCAUAAGCAGAAGCGCUAUGACAACGCGGUUGAUGUAGUCGUACGUCUUCACGAUCCGACCGAUCCAAGUACCAAACGUACGGCACCUCCGAGUUCAGCACACGUUCAGGUCGAUGAUGAUCUUCGGCCUCCGAUCCAGCAAAGCUCCAGAGAUGAGUUCCGUCAGCACGACGGCGUGGUGACGAUGAUGAUGUUCUACUGGCGCAGGGCUUCGCCUAAACUCGGCGACGAUAUGACCGAGGUGGAAUAUGGUGGAGGGNNNNNNNNNNNNNNNNNNNNNNNNNNNNNNNNNNNNNNNNNNNNNNNNNNNNNNNNNNNNNNNNNNNNNNNNNNNNNNNNNNNNNNNNNNNNNNNNNNNNNNNNNNNNNNNNNNNNNNNNNNNNNNNNNNNNNNNNNNNNNNNNNNNNNNNNNNNNNNNNNNNNNNNNNNNNNNNNNNNNNNNNNNNNNNNNNNNNNNNNNNNNNNNNNNNNNNNNNNNNNNNNNNNNNNNNNNNNNNNNNNNNNNNNNNNNNNNNNNNNNNNNNNNNNNAAGGAGCCAGGGGGGAGGAGGCGGCCGGCCAAGGAGGGUGCGCCAAGGGGGGAGUCCUACUCCCACCUGGAGUAGGACUCCCUUCUUUCCUAGUUGGAGUAGGAGAAGGGGGGAAAGAGGAGGAAGAGGGGAAGGAAAGGGGGGCGCCGCCCCCCUUCCCUUGUCCUAUUUGGACUAGGAAGGGGAGGGGGUGUGGCCCCCUCCUGCCUCCUUCCCUCUUCUCCCUCGAGGCCCAUGUAGGCCCAAUAACCCCCCGGGGGGUUCCGGUAACCUCCCGGUACUCCGGUAAAAUGCCGAUUUCACCCGGAACGAUUCCGAUGUCCAAAUAUAGGCUUCCAAUAUAUCGAUCUUUAUGUAUCGACCAUUUCGAGACUCCUCGUCAUGUCUGUGAUCACAUCCGGGACUCCGAACAAACUUCGGUACAUCAAAACUUAUAAACUCAUAAUAAAACUGUCAUCGUAACGUUAAGCGUGCGGACCCUACAGGUUCGAGAACUAUGUAGACAUGACCUAGAACUAUUCUCGGUCAAUAACCAAUAGCGGGACCUGGAUGCACAUAUUGGUUCCUACAUAUUCUACGAAGAUCUUUAUCGGUCAAACCGCAUAACAACAUACGUUGUUCCCUUUGUCAUCGGUAGGUUACUUGCCCGAGAUUUGAUCGUCGGUAUCCAAUACCUAGUUCAAUCUCGUUACCGGCAAGUCUCUUUACUCGUUACGUAAUGCAUCAUCCCGUAACCAACUCAUUGGUUACAUUGCUUGCAAGGCUUAUAGUGAUGUGCAUUACCGAGAGGGCCCAGAGAUACCUCUCCGACAAUCGAAGUGACAAAACCUAAUCUCGAAAUACGCCAACUCAACAUGUACCUUCGGAGACACCUGUAGUACUCCUUUAUAAUCACCCAGUUACAUUGUGACGUGUGGUAGUACCCAAAGUGUUCCUCCGGUAAACGGGAGUUGCAUAAUUCUCAUAGUUACAGGAACAUGUAUAAGUCAUGAAGAAAGCUAUAGCAGUAUACUAAACGAUCAAGUGUUAGGCUAACAGAAUGGGUCAUGUCAAUCACAUCAUUCUCCUAAUGAUGUGAUCCCAUUAAUCAAAUGACAACACAUGUCUAUGGUUAGGAAACAUAACCAUCUUUGAUCAAUGAGCUAGUCAAGUAGAGGCAUACUAGUGACUAUAUGUUUGUCUAUGUAUUCACACAUGUAUCAUGUUUCCGGUUAAUACAAUUCUAGCAUGAAUAAUAAACAUUUAUCAUGAUAUAAGGAAAUAAAUAAUAACUUUAUUAUUGCCUCUAGGGCAUAUUUCCAUCAAGUUAUACAAGUUCGGCCCCUUACGAUGAAGGUAAGGCCUACGUCUAGUUGGGUUGGUAUUGCUUGAGGUUUCGAUAACCAGGGAGCGAGAUAUGCUUCGCCCGGUUCUCGAUGAGUUGUUUCUUGUUCCUAAGUCGCCGGCGGGUCGUCCCCUUAUAUACACGGGUUGACGCCCUGCGGCCUAUAGAGUCCCUGCCGGCUCACAGAUAGUGUCUGGCUCAGUGACUAGUUAAUUCUACCUUAUGUUACAAUUCAUGUCAUCAUGGCGGUUUACCACUAUGGGCCUUAAGCCACCUGUGGGCCUUAGACCCUUUAUUGAACCACCAUCUUCAUGCUUGAUCUUGGGCUUCUUUCUGAUGAGUCUUCUUUGCGUAACCCGGCCCCUCCUGGGCGGCUAACACAAAUAGUUAUAUCCCCAACACCUCCCGUCAAUACGCACACCUGCAUGCACGCCUCCUGGUAUGCCUGCGCGGCACACGGGGCGUGUGGCAGCACGUAUAUUUUUUUGGUUUAUGGAUGAUUCAUCCUACCGCUUUACUGCUUAACUGAAGCAUGGCACGGUCUAACGCACACGGUCCGAAUAAAUAAUCCGUAUGAGAUAUUGGUUGCCAGUUUUUAAUAAUCUCCCAUUUGUAAGAAGAUUAUAUUAAAACUGGUCUCAUUGACGAAAAAAUACAAUAUCACAGUCUACUGGUGUCCAUAUAUGACACCACGAUAAGUUUCAUGAAUUUUAACCAAGUUUUGGAUUUACUGAAUUUUAAAAAUAUAUAUUCUCAAUAUUUUGAAAUCUCUUGCACAGGCAAACAUGCACCCAAGGACACAUAUGAAUUUGCAACCCAUUUCGGUGCACAUGUAGCUCAAAUUUGAUUUUUGCACAUUAAAUCCCUAGGAAAUCAAUCAAUGUAUAAAAACGGUUGAAUUGUGUAUGUUUUUUUAAUAACACGACACUCCGCCUUUCGUCACAUGUUCACUACAGAAAAAGUUUGACAUGCUUCAAAGCGGCUGUGGUGGUGCGGGAUGUGUGUGUUUGUGUGUGGGGGGUGGGGGAGGGGUCCGGCAGUACACUACGAGUCGUGAACCUCCGUGUGGGAUUAUUGAUCAUUUUGUGAGUCAUAUAUGCCACAUCAAAGUCGUGAAUUGGUUAUUUAAAGCAUUAUACAGCCCUUUCAUACAUAAUGUUCGGGCCACAUGCAUGCAUUGGUGGUCCUCUCGGACACUCUCCCUCGUGCGGUUAUCAGCGACGUGCCCAUUCGUUAGCCAGUAAAGGUUUUCAGUUUCCACCGACAACAAGAGGCAUUUGACCAAAAGGUGGAUUCAUCUUGGCAUGUGUGUGGUGUGGAUCAUGGUGGGAUUCCAUAUCAAAGUUCGAGCACGUACGUACACACUCCCACCGGCUUGAAGUGAAGGGGCUACGCGCGUUGUGGUGUAGUGCGUUUCCGGUUUGCGAAGCAUGUGCCACAUCAAAGUUGUGCAUUAAUUGGGUAUUCAAACAUCAUGUAACACAGGGGCGCAUGCACGCGGUGGUUUUGUCCUAUGACAUCACUCGCAUGUGCCUCUCUCUGUGGGCCCACGAGGUCGUCAUCGACCAGUUGAACGUACAACGAGAGAGAGGUUAAUUUGACAAACAACGAUGGUUCUUUUUUGGUUUGUGUUACGUAUAUGCACGGUAUAGGAGUAUGUACAUGUCAAAGAGGGGGCAACAUGAAUACUCUCUCUCUCUCUCUCUAUAUAUAUAUAGAGAGAGAGAGAGAGUAACACUAUUCUGAUCCUGGGAUCAGAAUAGUUAUUUGGAUCACGGCGCGCCCUUAUAGGAGCGAUCACGUUGUUCCCGAACUGCCCCACCAGACUCGACUAAAAAAACGGACCGUGAGGCCAUGCCCAAGAACUGCCGCACAACCUCCCCUCGAUCCCACGAUCCAGUCGCCACCGACCUCGCCCUGAUCCCACACCGCUGGUGCCCCGCCCCAGAUCCAGUCGCCUCUGGGAGCCCCGCCGCGAAACAACCCGCCCCCACAUCUCCUGCCCCGCCCCGAACCUCCCCGCCGCCGGUGCCUCACUGGCCGUCGCUCCCGCCAACCACGCAAGCCGCCGGUGUCGGUCCUCCCGUUAACGCCAUCGCCGCCAACCCACGCCAGCGCUGCCGGCUUCACCACCACCCCGCACCAUCCUCCACCGCGGGCUGCCGCCGACUGCCUUCCAGCCGCGGUCGAGUCGCCCAGCGCUUCGAUCUGCACCGGUGCCGCCUCCCUCGCCUGAAUCCGGCCACCGCACCGUCCCCGGUGCACUGCCCCUCCCGUGGCCGGGCGACCACCACCACCGGCCUGCAGCUGCUGGAGCACCGCCGACGAGCAUGCCUCCCUCCACCACCGGCCUGCAACUGUUGUUGCCCUCUUCCUCCGUGUUGCUGCUGCCAUACACUCCACCCAGCGCGCGAGUCUCCACAUCGAGUUGCCCCUCUCCUUGUACUAACAGUGCACACAAGUUGUUUGUGUAUAUGUCUCAAACAAAAAAGUGUGUUUUCUCUAACAUUUUACCCUGUCUCGGUGCAUCCUCUCUCUUUGGUUACAGGAGAAGUUCAUAUACAGCUACAAUAGCAAAGUUCAUGUCAGAAAAACUGAUGUCCAUUUAUAUGGACGUUCAUAAUUGUUGUGUGUAUGUAGGGAAGCACAAAAAACUUGUAGCUGAUAAAUUUUCCUUUUGUUUAGCCGUAGCAAUCUUUCUUGAUGCCUGCUCUUUUUGAAGUGAUUAAAUGAUGCUUGUUUAUAGUUCAUGUUGGUGCUUGAUCUUGGAAAUAUAUUACAGUGCGCGGAUGUGAUGUUGAAUUAGAAAUAACCGAGCAGUCCGAUGAGUAUAAAAAACUUAUAUUUUCCUGUUUCUCAAGAAAUAACGGAGAAGUUCAUAUUAAAAUUUAAUAUGAAGUAUAAAAAAACCUUGAAGUUCAAAUUUAGAAAAUGUGGUGGAUUAGCAUUUGUUUGAAUUUUUUCCUUUUAAAUAAAAACUAAAAUUAUUUCUGAAAAACAAAAAAAAUAAGAAGGUCAAACUACAGCAACAGAGAAGUACAAGGUUUAAAAACAAAAAAAUGGAAAAGUCCAAAUAUAAAAAGAGGAACAUUUCAAAAGAAUUUGUGAAAAAAAAUCCCCGUUAUAAAAAACUAGAAGUUAAAAUUAGAAUAAAAGGAACAAAUAAAAAAGUUUUAAAAAAUCCUGUUUCUUAAAAAACUAGAAGUUCAAAUUUAAGUAACGGAGCUGGAAAGUUGUGUGUUUUCAAAAGCUUAUUCAUGUGCAGCAGAAGUUCAAGUCAAACUAAUGGGGUGAUUCAGCGCUUAUUCUUGAGAAAGAGGAGAAAAUUAUACAUGCUCUGUAGGUCAAAAGUUUGGCUUUAAUUUAUGUUUUGUGAAGGUCAAAAUGUUGUGUUCGAGAAGGUCAAGUGUGUUAUCUCAGCAAGUUCAAAAUAAAUUUAAACAUGCAAGGUAAAACAUGUAAGAAAACAAAAGGGAGAAGUUCAAUUUCUAAAGAUGACGCGGUUUAACGUGUAAACCAAUGUUGAAAGAAAAUGAGAAGUUUAAUUUCUAAAGAUGAAGCGGUUCGACGUGCAACCCAAUGUUGAAAGAAAACAAAAAGAAAGGAGAAGUUCAAUUUCUAAAGAUGAUGUGGUUCGACGUACUAAACAAUGUUGAAAGAAAAUAAAAAGAAAAGGAGAAGUUCAAUUUCUAAAGAUGACGCGGUUUGAUGUGUAAACCAAUGCAAAAACACACACACACAAAAUGUUGUUUUGGUGUCUUAAAAUAUUUUUAUUCAUAAAAAAUGAUUAAGAAAUAAAACCAAGAAGGCCAUAUUAAAAAGAUGGAGAAGUUCGAUGAUUAUAUAAAACUCAGAUUUUCCUCGUUACUAAAAAUACGUCUGAGUGAAAACAGCAAGAAGUUCAACGUGAAAAUAGCAGGAAGUUCAAUUACUACACUGAAUGAAUUUCGGAUGAAAAACUUUUAAAACCGUUGCGAGUAUGAAAAAAUGAUCAACACGGGAAAGUUGCGUGUCUACAGCAGCUUUCCAUCGGUAUAUCAUUUGCUCAAUUCCGGUGAGUGGAUGGAGAGCUAUGAGCAGUGGAUGGAGAGCUACGGGCAAAAAAAGCACGUGAAAAACAGAGUGAAGUUCAAGGUUUCAUACCGAGAAGUUCAGGUACUUCACGCGAUGCAUUUUUCACGAAUCUGUUCCGCGAUAAAGGCAGAACGAAUGAUCUCGCCAUUUUCAACAUUACUUGAAAACAGCAGGGAAUCACAGAAAACCAUCAACAUGAAAAAGUUUCUCAUUUUCUGUAGCUUUUCAACAGUAUAUUAUUUGCCCCAAUCCGUUAUAGUUUGUAGAAAAUACGGCGAAAAUACAUUUUUAGCCAUUUUCAAAUUUUACAUAAAACCGUAAGGAAUUGGGAGAAACAAUGUAUACCAAAAAAUUUCGCAUUUCCUCAAGCUUUCCAACGCCAUAUCAUUUGUGGCAUUCGGACACAGGGUUAAAACAAUAUAUCGAAAAUACGAACUCGGUGAAACUUGUACCAUUUUCUAAAUCACUUUUAAACCGUUCAAAAUUAAAAAAAACUUUCUACAUGAAAAAUUAGCGCAUUUUCAUAAGCUUUCCAACGCCAUAUCAUGUGCCUCAAUUGGUUUAGCCAUUUAGAAAUGACAUCAAAAAUACGAACUCGGCUGUUCGGUUUGUGAAAUUUUACGAUUUUUUAAAUUACUCUUUAACCGUAGGGAAUUAGAGAAACCUUUCAACAUGUGGAAGGAGCGGUUUUGCAGCAGCUUUCCAAAGCCAUAUUACUUGCCUCAUUCCGAUAAACGGUUUAGAAAUGUGAUCAAAAUUACGAUUCACAUUUUUUGUGUGAAGAAAAAACGGUUUUCAAAACUGCUCUUAAACCGCUUACAUUUUGCAAAAAAUUUAACUUGGGUCAUGAUACUCGUGUCCAUAGCUUUCCAACGGUAUAUAGCAGCCCUAUUUGGGCAAUGUUGUGGGAAGUUCAACCUAACACAGGGGGAAGUUCAGGUCGAACAACUCAGGCAGUAAAAUCACAAAAAACGCGAUUCUUCAUGACCCGAGUGCAAAAUCCGCCUAUGAGCGAGAUUCCUAUCUAAAACGAGUAUUUAGUUGCUAAAAAUUGUUUGAAGAUUACACUUACAUCACAUGGAACAUGACUAACCAGAAAAACUCGCGGUAGAAGGCACGGUUGCGAAGAUAGCCCGAAGGUCGGGUUCGUACAGAGAGAAGUUCAGGCGCGCGUACAAACAAAAAUACGUCACAGAAGUUCAACGUGAAAACAUCAUGAAGUUCAACUACUACGUUGAAUGAAUUUCAGAUGAAAAACUUUUAAAAUCGUUGCGAGUAUGAAAAAAUGAUCAACACGGGAAAGUUGCAUGUUUACAGCAGCUUUCCAUCAGUAUAUCACUUGCUCAAUUCCGGUGAGUGGAUGGAGAGCUAGGAGCAGUGGAUAGAGAUAUACGAGGAAAAAAAGCACGUGAAAAACAGAGUGAAGUUCAAGUACACGUGUCGAGAAGUUCAGGUUCUUCACGCGGUGCAUUUUCGAAGAAUCAGUUUCGCGAUAAAGGCAGAACGAAUGAUCUCGCCAUUUUCGCAAUUACUCGAAAACUGCUAGGAAUCAGAGAAAACCAUCAACAUGAAAAAGUUUCGCAUUUUCCGUAGCUUUUCAGCGGUAUAUUAUUUGUCCCAUUCAGAUAAAGUAUGUAGAAAUUAUGCCAAAAAUACGUUUUUAUUCAUUUUCUAAUUCGACUUAAAACUGUAAGGAAUAUAUACAAAAAAGUUUCACAUUUCCUCAAGCUUUUGAACGCCGUAUCAUUUGUUACAUUCGGACGUACGGUUAAAAAAUUAGCUCGAAAAUACGAACUCGGUGGAACUUGUACCGUUUUCUGAAUUACUUUUAAACCGUUCCGAAUUAGAAAAAACUUUUAACAUGAAAAAGUAGUGCAUUUUCACAAGCUUUCCAAUGCCAUAUCAUUUGCCUCAAAUGGAUUAGCCGUUUAAAAAUUACAUUAAAAAUACGAACUCGGCUGUUUGGUUUGCGAAAUUUUACGAUUUUCAGAAUUACUCUUUAUCCAUAGGGAAUUAGAGAAAACUUUCAACAUGUCGAAGGAGCGGUUUUGCAGCAGCUUUCCAAUGCUAUAUUAUUUACCUCAUUCCGAUAAACGGUUUAGAAAUGCCAUCGAAAAUAUGAUUCACGUUUUUUGUAUGAAGAAAAAACGGUUUUCAAAAAUACUCUUAAACCGCAUACAUUUUGCCCAAAAUUUAACUUGGAUCAUGAUAUUGGUGUCCAUAGCUUUCCAACGGUAUAUCGCAAGCCCCAUUUGGACACUUUUUAGCUGAAGUUCAACCCAGUACAGAGGGAAGUUCAGGCGCGUUACUCAGGCAGUUCAGGUUGUGAUCACAAUAUUAUUCUGAUCCCGUGAUCAGAAUAGUGUUUAUGUGUAUAUAUAUAUAUAUAUAUAUAUAUAUAUAUGCGUGUCAUAACCUCGCUCCAUGUGGGGACUUUUCUGUUCCUGAGGCAGGUUCCACAUCAAAGUUUUACAUUAUAUUAGUAUUCAAACAUCACGCAAUACCAUGCAGGCGGUGGUUUCCCUCUAUAUAGGAACUCACUCGUGUGUGGCGCUUCCAUCCGUGGGCAUGCGAGGUUGUCCUCCAUCACUUUGACCCAAUGAGAGAGAGGUUACUUUGAUCAUCAAGGAAUGAUUAUUUUUUGGUUUGAACUAUAUAGUAGAAGUACAUAUAUACCACGUGUCGAAUGGGAGCGUACUUAUAGCACAUACCACGUGUCAUGAACCUCGUGCUCUCUAUGGGGACUUUUUGGGUUCCUAUAUACGUGGUGCCACAUCAAAGUUGUGCAUUGCAUAUUCAAACAUCACACAAACAGCUCUUUGGGCCACAUGCAGACAGUGGUAUGUAGUCCUAUAUAGGAUGAUCACUCGCGUGCGACGUACGCUUCGCUUCUGUGUUGGGCCCGCGAGUUCGUCGUCCAUCACUUCGACCCAGCGAGAGAGGUAUGCGUUUGAUGAACAAGGAUGAUUAAUUCUUUUAGAGCUGUAAUACUAGGUGUAUAUAUAGUACGUGUCGAGCGGGGGUGACCAGCUUGGUCCAUCACUUUCACCGACAGCACGAGAGAGGUUAACUAAUUUGACUUAGGAGGGGAUUAAUUUUUUGUUUUGUCUUGAUAUAAAUCAUGAUGUGAGAUUACAUAUAUAUAAUAGCGCAUCUGUACACAUGAACCCAUCUCAGUGGAUCGAAGGGGGGUGAGCACACGACACGUCAUGAACAACCUCUUGCUCUAUGUGGGGUCCUCUGCGAUUUUCAACGCAUGCACCACAUCAAUGUUGUGCAUUGGGUCGGGUAUUCAACACAUAUGGAUGCAUCACACACCUCCAUAAAUAUGUUCGGGACACACGCAUGCAAUAAUGGUUGUCUUUGGACACACUCUCACUCGCUUGGUUAUGGGCGGCAAGCCUAUAUAUAUUUGUGGGCCCGCGUGGACGUCCAUCAUUUCGGCCAAUGACAAGAAAGGUUACCAGGGUGGAUAUAUUCUUCUUCUUUGCUUCGAGUUACCGUAUAGUAGGUCGACCCAUUCCAAGCCAAAUUAAGUUUGAGCGCAUGCUACGCGUCGUGAACCCUCGCUCGGUGUGGGGAUUUUGCGGUUCCAAAGCAUGGUGCCACAUCAAAUUUGCGCAUUGGGUAUUCAAACACCACACACACCACUUCCAUAUACAUACUUGGGCCACAUGCACAGAGUGGGUUUGUCUUCAUACAAUACUCCCUCGUGAGGUUAUCAGCGACAAGCUAGCCCAUUAUGCGGGACCGUGUGGGCGUCCAUCACUUUGACCAACAAUGAGAGGGGAGAGGUUGUACGACCAAGUUAGAUUCUGCUUGGUCCGUGUUACAAUACGUCUUGGUGAGAUGCCCUCCCCCCGACGUGUGUGGGGGGGGGCUACUUCGUGCUACCUGCAACCUCCGUGGGGUCGAGGAAGUCCGAUUAAUUUGCGAGGCACACGUGCCACAUCAAAAGUUGUGAUUGGUAGUUAAAUAUCACACACCACACCCUUUUCAUACAUAUAGUAGGGCCACCCGCAUGUGGUUCGUAUGUGGUCUCACCCAUCUCGCGCCACAAGCACACAUUUGUGGGUCGGCACACAGUCCACCUUUGUCGGGAAGCGAAAGGGGAAGUUUGACCAUAUAUAUAUAUAUAUAUAUAUAUAUAUAUAUAUAUAUAUAUAGGGUGGGUCUAUUCUGCUAACACCCCUUAAGACUUAUUCUGCUAACAAAAAUCCUUAUUCUGAUAACACCCACCGCAUCCGCUGCCCACCCCCCACUUUCUUCCUUCCCGAAACACCCGAACCCAACCCCCGACCCCCCACCUUCUUCUUCGCCGGGGCCCCGGCACCCCCAGGUUCUUCGCCGCCCGGGCCCGCCCCCUAAACCCACAUUCUUCCUUGCAAGGACCCCNNNNNNNNNNNNNNNNNNNNNNNNNNNNNNNNNNNNNNNNNNNNNNNNNNNNNNNNNNNNNNNNNNNNNNNNNNNNNNNNNNNNNNNNNNNNNNNNNNNNNNNNNNNNNNNNNNNNNNNNNNNNNNNNNNNNNNNNNNNNNNNNNNNNNNNNNNNNNNNNNNNNNNNNNNNNNNNNNNNNNNNNNNNNNNNNNNNNNNNNNNNNNNNNNNNNNNNNNNNNNNNNNNNNNNNNNNNNNNNNNNNNNNNNNNNNNNNNNNNNNNNNNNNNNNNNNNNNNNNNNNNNNNNNNNNNNNNNNNNNNNNNNNNNNNNNNNNNNNNNNNNNNNNNNNNNNNNNNNNNNNNNNNNNNNNNNNNNNNNNNNNNNNNNNNNNNNNNNNNNNNNNNNNNNNNNNNNNNNNNNNNNNNNNNNNNNNNNNNNNNNNNNNNNNNNNNNNNNNNNNNNNNNNNNNNNNNNNNNNNNNNNNNNNUUCUUCCCCGCUGGCACCGGCCACCGUGCCCUCCACCGCCACCUCCACGUCCACCGUCGGCCGCCCAGAAGCGCUGCGCCGCCGGCUGCCCUGCCUACCCCAGCGCGAGCCCUUCUCCUUCCCUAUUCCUCCGCCUGGACUCCGGCGACCAACGGAUCUGAGGACCCCCAGCCCUCCCGCGCCUUCUCCAUGGCCUCCUCCCUUGUCGAUGCCCGCGCUCGUCCAGCUCGACCUCAUCGGAAUCCGCGGCGAGCCCCGACCCCGACGGGGGCCUACCCACUUCCAGUGGCUCGGACCACCAUGCCUCCGCCGCGAAACUGGAAAAAGAUCCCGGCAAGAUCCGGCCUGCCGCCCGCGCUGCCCAGGGUUCGUCCUCUCUGUCCACGGCCAGACGAAGACCAGGGCGUCGGCCCCUUCCCCACCAUCGACAGCGAGAUCAAAAGACCGAGGCCGUGGCCACCACGCGCGCCCACAACAGCGAGAUUCCACCCCUGGAUGCACUGUAGCUCGGUUUGGUGGGCGCCACUGUCCUCCGACGGGUGUGUGUGCAGUGCAGUCCAGCGGCAGGGGUUGCCAUCUCCUCUCACACUUCUAGCAGCAUCAGGGGGAGGAUGGUGGAGAAAUAUUCUCCCAGGUACAAUUUGUGUGAUGUUCGUGCGUCUGUGUGCAAUUUCGGUGAUGGCCUUCAUGCCGAGGUCCAAUUUUUCAUUGUUGUUAUCCAUUGACGGCGAGCAGUGCAGCUUCUAUCAUUGCAGGUCAGUUGGGCGUCGGUGCAGUAAGCAAGCACUUGAGAGGACGAUUGGCAUGCACUUCGGUUUCAGCCAUGCGACAUUGCAGUACGGAUGCGCACGGCAGAAGGUUCGUUGCUGUAGUUUACUUGGUGUAGUUCAGCCGGUUGAUGGUUGCAGUUAAAAGGAAAAUUGUGUGGACUCCACUUUCUAUGGGAUGAAAAAAUAAGUGCAAAUGUGGUUCACUAGUUAUUUUCUCAGGGUUCAGUUAACUAUAUUUUGUGUGAUGAGAGCCGUUCCGACGUUUGAUGUAGUUAACUGAACCUUGAGAAAAGUUAUAUGGACUCGUUUGAAAAUUGUUUACCAAAGAAGUUCAUUUCGAAUUGUGUUGUGGCUCAUUUCUCUCGACCAUGCGGUUCGCUUCUUCGCACGUGUAUAGCUCGCCAAUGUGGAAAUCCAAAACUCCAAACAGAAAAAAGAAAGAAGGAAAUGAAGUGCAAAGAUAUGUUAAAUGAAAAAUGGUAGAGAAACAACAAAAAAAGGUAAUGCCGUUCACUUGACCAUUUGAUGCGGUGCAAAUGUGUUAAAUGAAAAAUGGUAGAGAAACAACAAAAAAAAGUAAUGCCGUUCACUUGACCAUUUGAUGCAGUGCGGUUUUCUCACUGAAGCAGUGCGGUCGGGUGUCUAAUGUUGUUCAUCUUGCAAGUGAUCAUUUGAUGCAGUGCGGUUUUCUAACUGAAGCAGUGUGGUCUGGUGUCUGAUGUUGUUCAUCUUGUAAAUUGCAAAAGAAAAAAUGUUACUGAAACGACAAAUAAAGUAAUGUGGUUUACUUCUCCAUGCCUUUGGGGUUCACUUACGCCCGAUAUGAAGUCCCAAAAAAAAUUGCAAUUCAUUACCGUGAUUUGGCUGGUGGAGAGUGCAGAUUUUGUAUGCUAUAAAACUCCUCUGUUGUCCAUUUGGUAAACACAAAACAAAAAAGAUCUCAAAAUGAAGCUCACUUCUAUAUUAGAUGUAGUACACUCGGUCAGUCCCUGUGGUCCACUCGCUUGGUCAACGCGCGCAAAAAAAUUAGUAAGUACGAAAAAAAGGACAACAAAAACUCAUGAGGUUCACUUUUGGUAGUGUUGCGUUUCAUUUUCGGGAGUGUUGCGGUCCACUCUCGUUCAAAAAAAGUUGAAAAAAAAGACAACAAAAACUUGUGCGAGAAAGUUUACGUCCGACAAAAAAAAUGAUGCAGUGCACUUGACUGUCUGUUGCAGUGCGGUUUUCAGUUUGAAGCAGUGCGUUCUUCUGUCCCACGACGAUUUUGGUGUCACGAAAAAACAGAGUGUCCGCUUUUUGCUAAUUUUAAAACUGCUCUUAAACCGUAAGGAAUUAGAGAGUGUGUUCUACAUGAAAAAGUUGCGUCUCGUCGAUAUCUUUCCAACGGCAUAUCAUUUGAAUCAUUUCGACAACCGGUUUGUAAAAAUUUCAAAAAAAACGGCCGCUGUCACUCGUCCUCCGCCACACGAUUUUCAAAAUUAACUUAAAACCGUAAGCAAUCUCAAAACCAUUCCUACAUAUGAUAGUUGCGCCUUGUCCGUAGCUUUCCAACGACGUAUUACACGCCUCGUUUCGACAAACAGUUCAAAAACAAGAGCGAAAACAGUACCGAAAAUUUGAAAAAAUUUAAAAAAUAGAAUUCCGCGAUUUAGUAAAUUUGAAACUGCUCUUAAACCGUAAUGAAUUAGAGAAAGAUUUAUAUAUGAAAAAGAUGCGCCUCGACGAUAUCAAUCCAACGGAGUAUCAUUUGCUUCAUUCCGACAAGCGGUUUAGGAAAAAAACGCGAAAAAACGCUCGCUGCCACUCGUCAUCCGCCGCACUAUUUUCAAAACUGCUCUUCAACCGUGUGGAAUCUCGAAAAGUGUUCAACAUGUAGAAGUUGCGCCUAAUCCAUAGCUUUUCAAUGGUAUAUUACACGCCUCAUUCCGGUAAACGGUUAAAAAAUUAGAGCGAAAACAAUACCGAAAAAACACCGCGUACAAUUUUUUUCGACACGAAGUUCACUAGUCUUUAUUGCAGUGCUCGUCGUCAAAAUGAUGCAGUGCGCUUCUGUUGAGCGUGCAGUGCCGAAGUGGUGUGCAGAAUAGUUAUUCUGCUAAUAUUAGCAGAAUAGACCGUCUGUAUGUGUGUGUGUGUGUGUGUGUUGUGUUACGGUAGGGUGAGAUUUCAGACCUAGCUAUUUGGGGGGAUGCAUUCGUAGUUAAGAUUCCCUUACCGCCGACAUGAAGUGGGGUUCGUAUGGGGUGGCUAACUAGCAAUAUUGUGCUUUUGUGUGACAGGUGCCACAUCAAAGUUGUGCAUUGGGUAUUCGAACAUCAAACCACCCUUUUCAUACAUAUAUUUGGUCCACAUGCGAGUGUCUUCGUGUUCUAACCCUUUCCCACGUUAUUCUUUUUGCCAAAUUUAUAAACAGCACACGAGUUGGAUGUAGAAACCAUAUGUGAUUGGGUACGCAACAGACAUGGGUUGGUCAGACUACCGUGUGCCAUGCAUCAGCACAAUAGAUUGGGCUCCACGAGGCUUGCCUCCCGGUCUCGAAAAUAUCUACUGCCUUGUAAUCUCGAAAAUAUCUACCGCCUGGAAGGUUUUAAUGUUUGAUAGCACACGAUUAGUAUGUGCGGACCGUGUGCGAUGCCUGUUACUCCCGCUCUGCUUCAGUCCCUUGAUUCAAAUUUUCAGUAGCCCCAACAUUUUACUCCCGCCUCGGCAUCCCUCGCAAUCUCAAAAAUAUCUGCUCGCCCUUGAUCCAAAUUUUCAGUAGCCUUGCCUUGUUACUCCCGCCUAGUAAAAAUUUUAGUUGCUGUGGUAUUUCCUCAAACACCACCUUGUGGCACACCCCCUCCACACACACCACAGACUCCCCAAAAUCUCUGCUCACACAGAGACACACCACCCCCAAAACCAUUGGUAGGUCGACGCCAUCGUCGCCACUUUUAUCCUCAACCUCUGCAUGUGUGCCGGGGAGCUCAAGGAGCCAAUUGCCAAAAAUAGGUUUAUCGCGGCCUCUUCGCCCGACGCCGGCGAGGUGGCCACUGAGGUGUCCCCAUUGUCCUUCAUAGGCUCUUUAUCAAUCCGCCCGCCGCCGCGCCCCUACGCCGGUUUGAGGACUUCCCCGUCCUCCCUCGGACCCGGCAGCCGACAAGGUCCUACCUCGGGGUCCGACAGCGGCGAUGGUGGACGUGGGUCGCCGAGAUUACAGAUCGACCCACACCUGCCGGUGGCUCGGUAGCUUCCACACGGUCGAGCUCGCAGCCAUGGAGUACGACCGUUGGUAGGUCUGCUACCAUGGCGUGGCGGCUAGGCUCAAUUUCCCCUUUAAUACACGUCCGGUCGACCUCAUUUCGCCGGAACCAUGGGUGGUGAGCUCGGCUAUGGCGCAGAGGACCGCGAGGUGUGGGAGCGCCUCGAGGCCGAGGCCGCCGAUGAGGCCUACAUGCAAGAGCUCCGCCGGCAAUACCCGGAGCUCGUGGAGGCAGAGCGGGCGAUCUUUGUCAGCGUGGUGGGCGGUGAGGUUAUCGCGCUCUCCUCUAAUGACGAGGUCGAAGGCGGUGAGGACAUCGGCACGGAGGGCGGCGAGGUGGGUGGCGAGGACGAGGAGAUCAACGUUGACAAGUGGAGGAGUGUCUUCCCCAACGACCUUGACGACGGCACCGGCCCGGACCCGGCUCGUGGCACAUCGUACCUGACGAGGAAGGAUUGGCUCGACCUCCACUUCGACCAAAAGUAGUUUACCUUAGUUUAAAUUUAUCUUUUAUGUACGGUUAUGCAAAACUAUCUAUGUUUAUGUUUGAAUGCAUGCUACUUUCGGUUGAACCUGCUUUGAACUUGAUCAAAUUGAAGUUUACAACGUUAAGUUUAGGGGAUCGACUUGAAACUGCCAAAAAUUGCUGGAGUAUAUAUAUAUAUCCACUAAGGGUUUUAGUCCUUUAUUAAAUUUUGAAGGGCCAGCUAGAGAUGGCCUUAUGCUUUGUUUAUUUCAGUUCUUCACAAUGUGAUGCUCUAUAUGUGCAACUAUUUGUUGUGCAGUUCAAUUUACCACUAUGAAUUACGAUAUUUGGUUGUUGUUAAGGAUAUUACAGUUAAGAUGCCUUUUCGUUUUUUAACAAUAAUUAGUGUACUUUAACUAGUGUACUUUAGACCUGCACAAUACCAGUUGGAAUGACUAUUUGCUUGUUUUUAAAUGUUAUGCCCGAUGCAGCUAACACACCUUUCCACUUCUUGUUUUGCUUAACUAGCGUGCUUAAGCCUGCACACUGAAGCUAUCAUUUAUAGAUUAUGUUGUCUACCAUGGAUAUAUUUGGUUGAUGUUUAGCCUGUUGUGCUUAACAUGCCUUUAUAUGUACUCAUAUAGGACAAUAUUGAGAACCGUGCUAUUUUCCAUCGAGGUUAGUUUCAUCGCAUUGCUUACAUGUACUCACUAUUCAGGAUAUCGGUAGUUGGUACCAUAUAGCCUGGGGGCUGAUAAGGGAUUAAUUGUCGAAUUAGACAUUGCACUGAAUAUAUCUGUAACCCAUUUAUCAAUAGGUUAACUAGGGCCAUAUUUAAUAUAUCUGAGGCUACAUAGCAACAUGCAUUGUUCCGAAUGACUAAAUAUGCAAUCCCAGGCUACAUGGCAACAAGGAAGAGUGUUACCUUAAUGUUCUGAUGAUGUCUAGAUGUACAUGUAAUAAAAUCUUAUAUAAUGGGAUGGAGGGAGUGUUGUACUACAUCAUUUUACAAUUGUUGUUUAGCUUCUAAUAUUAACUUGGUGCUUUUAGGUACAUAUGUCAUUGCCAAAGAUCCACACUUUGACCCUUUCUGCGUAUGGGGCAAUGAGAUAUUCAUGAACCAGCAUCAAGUGAGGAAACUGAUAAAGAUUGUUAUUAAAAUGGGUCAAAAGAUGUUAAUCGGACUAUUUGCUUACACUUCAUGCAAGACAACAGUGAACUGCAGGAUGGUAAGUAAGAACAUGUAGCCUUGUUUUUACUGCCUGUAAUGAGUUGUGUUAGAUGACAAUGUUUGAAUCUUUUUUCCUUUGUAGUGGAUCCCGAAGCAGAUUACUCAAGAUUACCUCUCAAACCACAUGAUUGGCGGCCGACCAUCACAAGGGGUUGGACUAGAGUCAUGCAUGCCUUCUGCAUCCAGGAGAGCACAAUAGGGCCCUUCCGCUUCACCUUGUUCAGCAACCAGAAUGUAUGUCACCUCUUUCUUUACCAUCUGUAAUAGUACAAGUAUAGAACCCUGGUUCAUCAUUCUUUAUUUGGUGCUUAUGUAAUUCUUAAACAUAUGUACCUAUGAAUCGAAUAAUCAUUGGUUGUUUGAACCUGAUGGAUAGAAUAAAGCUAUAACCUACUUUCAAGUUUAAAUUAGGUACAAUUUUAAAUAGCAACAAUUAAAUUAGGGCAAUAUUAUGGCGUGCAGGUCAUUACGCGCACACGAUUAAUAAAGCACAGUGUGUGCGAUAUACAUCCUAAUCCGACAUGGUUCAUAGAGAGGAAACGUGUGUAACAAUGCACGUAGUUGUCGUUUGCAAAGCGUGUGUGAUGUCAGACACUAUCACAUACGAUGCAGGAAAACUAAAUGUGUGUGAUUGUCUACCUAUCGUACACGGUUUAUAACCAUGAACUGUUUGCGAUGUGCCAGGCAUCGUCAACGUAAAGCCAGUUUGGUACGUGCCUGGAAAACUCCCAUGCAUAGAACCUGCCUGGUUUUAGGUAAAACCACAAAACUAAGACUACGAUGGCAAUGUGAGCACAAACGAGUAGCAAGGAUGAAGCGUUUGGGAUAUUCGAGAUAUCAGAAAUGGUUAUAUAGGGACAACUAUAUGCAUCAGGGCUCCCUAUCCCCGACGGUUUCUGGGUCGUGCGGGAAGGACCCCCUAUCACCCACACUCACUUGGCGACAGUUCCAAAUGUCGUCGCAGAAAGGGGUUAAAAACUAUGUGUAUAGCACCUCGUUGUACCAGUGAUAGGAUGAUACUAUUUGGUCUCCGGAAAGGUUUCAGACUGCACCGAAGUUUUAUCGGAGUGCCGGAAAGGGUUCUAGGAAGCCACUGGUACUUGGUGCACCUCAUGGGCCAAAGGAGGGAGGCGCACCAUCCCACUAGGGGGCUAGGCGCACUCCACCUCCCCUGGCUACACGCCAAGGAAGGAAAGGGGGCGCCUGUUGGGAAACGUUGCAUGGAAAUCAAAAAUAUUUAUACGCACACACAAUGAUCUAUCCAUGGAGAUGCAUAGCAAUGAGGGGGGGGAGUGUGUCUAUGUACCCUCAUACACUGUAAGUGGAAGUGUUUCACAACGCAGUUCAUGUAGUCGAACUUUCUUCGCGAUCCAACCGAUCGAGUACCGAACAUACGACACCUCCGUGUUCUGCACACGUUCAGCUCGACGAUGUUCCUCGCCUUCUUGAUCCAGCAAGAUGUCGAGGUAGUAGAUGAUUUCUGUCAGCAUGAUGGUGUGGUGACGGUGAUGGUGAAGUGAUCUCCGUAGGGCUUCGCCUAAGCACUACGAAAAUAUGACCGGCGGUGUAAACGGUGGAGAAGGGCGCCGCACAAGGCUAACAAUUGAUCUGGGGUGUGCUAGGAGCCCCCUCCUCAUAUAUAUAGGUGGGAGGGAGAGGGGAGAUGCCAAGGAGCGCCCCAAGUAGGUAUGAAUCCUACUUGGGCUCCUGCCCUUGGCCGCGCCCCCCCUGCCAUGUUUGUCGGGGGGGAAGAGGGGGGAGGACGGGGGAAUCCUAUUCCACUCUUUCCUUUCCCUUCCCCUCUUUCCUUCUACUCCUAGGCCAGCACAUAUGGGGGGCGCACCAGCCCCUUGUGGCUAGUGCGUUCUCCUCUUGGCCCAUAAAGCCCAUAUCUUUUGUCGGGGGUGCCCGGAACCCCUUUCGAUGACCCGAUAAGUACCCGGUACCCCCCCCCCCCAAACACUUCCGAUGUCCGAAUACCCUCGUCCCAUAUAUCAAUCUUUACCUCUCGACCAUUUCGAGACUCCUCCUCAUAUCCGUGAUCUCAUCCAGGACUCCAAACAACAUUCGGUCGUCAAAUCACAUAACUCAUAUAAUACUAUAUCGUCAUUGAACGUUAAGCAUGCGGACACUACGGGUUCGAGAACUAUGUAGACAUGACCGAGACACCUCUCUGGUCAAUAACCAAUAGCGGAGCCUGGAUUUCCAUAUUGGCUACUACAUAUUCAAUGAAAAUAUUUAUCAGUCAAACCAUUAUGAUAACAUACGUAAUUCCCUUUGUCCAUCGGUAUGUUACUUGCUCGAGAGUCGAUCGUUGGUAUCUUCUGAAGGAAAUAUGCCCUAGAGGCAAUAAUAAAGUUAUUAUUUAUUUCCUCAUAUCAUGAUAAAUGUUUAUUAUUCAUGCUAGAAUUGUAUUAACCGGAAACAUGAUACAUGUGUGAAUACAUAGACAAACAUAUAGUCACUAGUAUGCCUCUACUUGACUAGCUCAUUGAUCAAAGAUGGUUAUGUUUCCUAACCAUAGACAUGUGUUGUCAUUUGAUUAAUGGGAUCACAUCAUUAGGAGAAUGAUGUGAUUGACAUGACCCAUUCCGUUAGCCUAGAACUUGAUCGUUUAGUAUACUGCUAUUGCUUUCUUCAUGACUUAUACAUGUUCCUGUAACUAUGAGAAUUAUGCAACUCCCGUUUACCGGAGGAACACUUUGGGUACUACCAAACGUCACAACCUAACUGGGUGAUUAUAAAGGAGUACUAUAGGUGUCUCCGAAGGUACAUGUUGAGUUGGCGUAUUUCGAGAUUAGGUUUUGUCACUUUGAUUGUCGGAGAGGUAUCCCUGGGCCCUCUCGGUAAUGCACAUCACUAUAAGCCUUGCAAGCAAUGUAACCAAUGAGUUGGUUACGGGAUGAUGCAUUACGUAACGAGUAAAGAGACUUGCCGGUAACAAGAUUGAACUAGGUAUUGGAUACCGACGAUCAAAUCUCGGGCAAGUAACCUACCGAUGACAAAGGGAACAACGUAUGUUGUUAUGCGGUUUGACCGAUAAAGAUCUUCAUAGAAUAUGUAGGAACCAAUAUGGGCUUCCAGGUCCCGCUAUUGGUUAUUGACCGAGAAUAGUUCUAGGUCAUGUCUACAUAGUUCUCAAACCCGUAGGGUCCGCACGCUUAACAUUACGAUGACAGUUUUAUUAUGAGUUUAUAAGUUUUGAUGUACCGAAGUUUGUUCGGAGUCCCGGAUGUGAUCACGGACAUGAUGAGGAGUCUUGAAAUGGUCGAGACAUAAAGAUCGAUAUAUUGGAAGCCUAUAUUUGGACAUCGGAAUCGUUCCGGGUGAAAUCAACAUUUUACCGGAGUACCGGGAGGUUACCGGAACCCCCCGGGGGGUUAUUGGGCCUACAUGGGCCUCGAGGGAGAAGAGGGAAGGAGGCAGGAGGGGGCCGCGCGCCCCUCCCCUUCCUAGUCCGAAUAGGACAAGGGAAGGGGGGCGGCACCCCCCCUUUCCUUCCCCUCUUCCUCCUCUUUCCCCCCUUCUCCUACUCCAACUAGGAAAGAAGGGAGUCCUACUCCCGGUGGGAGUAGGACUCCCCCCUUGGCGUGCUCUCCUUGGCCGGCCGCCUCCUCCCCCCUGGCUCCUUUAUAUACGGGGGCGGGGGGGCACCCAUGGACACACAAGUUGAUCUACGGAUCGUUCCUUAGCCGUGUGCGGUGCCCCCUCCAACAUAUUCCACCUCGGUCAUAUCGUCGCGGAGUUUAGGCGAAGCCCUGCGCCGGUAGAACAUCAUCAUCGUCACCACGCCGUCGUGCUGAUGGAACUCAUCUCCAGAGCUUUGCUGGAUCGGAGGCCGGAGAUCGUCAUCGAGCUGAACGUGUGCUGAACUCGGAGGUGCCGUACGUUCGGUACUUGGAUCGGUCGGAUCGUGAAGACGUACGACUACAUCAACCGCAUUGUCAUAACGCUUCCGCUUAUGGUCUACGAGGGUACAUGGACAAUACUCUCCCCUCUCGUUGCUAUGCCAUCACCAUGAUCUUGCGUGUGCGUAGAAUUUUUUUUGAAAUUACUACGUUCCCCAACAGUGGCAUCCGAGCCUAGGUUUUAUGCGUUGAUGUUAUAUGCAUGAGUAGAACACAAAUGAGUUGUGGGUGAUACAAGUCAUACUGCUUACCAGCAUGUCAUACUUUGGUUCGGCGGUAUUGUGAGAUGAAGCGGCCCGGACCGACAUUACGCGUACGCUUGCGCGAGACUGGUUUCACCGUUACGAGCACUUGUGCUUAAAGGUGGCUGGCGGGUGUCUGUCUCUCUCAGUUUAGCUGAAUCGAGUGUGGCUACGCCCGGUCCUUGCGAAGGUUAAAACAGCACCAACUUGACGAACUAUCGUUGUGGUUUUGAUGCGUAGGUAAGAACAGUUCUUGCUAAGCCCGUAGCAGCCACGUAAAAUUUGCAACAACAAAGUAGAGGACGUCUAACUUGUUUUUGCAGGGCAUGUUGUGAUGUGAUAUGGUCAAGACGUGAUGCUAUAUUUUAUUGUAUGAGAUGAUCAUGUUUUGUAACCGAAGUUAUUGGCAACUGGCAGGAGCCAUAUGGUUGUCACUUUAUUGUAUGAAAUGCAAACGCCCUGUAAUUGAUUUACUUUAUCACUAAGCGAUAGCGAUAGUCGUAGAAGCAAUAGAUGGCGUAACGACAACGAUGCUACGAUGGAGAUCAAGGUGUCGCGCCGGUGAUGAUGUGAUCACGAUGGUGCUUCGAAGAUGGAGAUCACAAGCACAAGAUGAUGAUGACCAUAUCAUAUCACUUAUAUUGAUUGCAUGUGAUGUUUAUCCUUUAAGCAUCUUAUCUUGCUUUGAUUGAUGGUAGCAUUUUAAGAUGAUCUCUCACUAAUAAUCAAGAAGUGUUCUCCUUGAGUAUGCACCGUUGCGAAAGUUCUUCGUGCUGAGACACCACGUGAUGAUCGGGUGUGAUAGGCUCUACGUUCAAAUACAACGGGUGCAAAACAGUUGCACACGCGGAAUACUCAGGUCAUACUUGACGAGCCUAGCAUAUAUAGAUAUGGCCUCGGAACACGGAGACCAAAAGGUCGAACAUGAAUCAUAUAGUAGAUAUGAUCAACAUAGUGAUGUUCACCAUUGAAACUACUCCAUCUCACGUGAUGAUCGGACAUGGUUUAGUUGAUUUGGGUCACGUGAUCACUUAGAUGACUAGAGAGAUGUUUGUCUAAGUGGGAGUUCUUAAGUAAUAUGAUUAAUUGAACUUAAAUUUAUCAUGAACUUAGUACCUGAUAGUAUUUUGCUUGUCUAUGUUUGUUUGUAGAUAGAUGGCUCGUGUUGUUGUUCCGUUGAAUUUUAAUGCGUUCCUUGAGAAAGCAAAGUUGAAAGAUGAUGGUAGCAAUUACACGGACUGGGUCCGUAACCUGAGGAUUAUCCUCAUUGCUGCACAGAAAAGUUACGUCCUGGAAGCACCGCUGGGUGCCAGGCCUGCUGCUGAUGCAACUGACGACGUUAAGAACGUCUGGCAGAGCAAAGCUGAUGACUACUCGAUAGUUCAGUGUGCCAUGCUUUACAGCUUAGAACCGGGUCUUCAACGAUGUUUUGAACGUCAUGGAGCAUAUGAGAUGUUCCAGGAGUUGAAGUUAAUAUUUCAAGCAAAUGCCUGGAUUGAGAGAUAUGAAGUCUCCAAUAAGUUCUACAGGUGCAAGAUGGAGGAGAAUAGUUCUGUCAGUGAACAUAUACUCAAAAUGUUUGGGUAUAAUAAUCACUUGAUUCAACUGGGAGUUAAUCUUCCUGAUGAUAGUGUCAUCAACUGGGAGUUAAUCUUCCUGAUGAUAGUGUCAUUGACAGAAUUCUUCAAUCACUGCCACCAAGCUACAAGAGCUUCGUGAUGAACUAUAAUAUGCAAGGGAUGAACAAGACUAUUCCCGAGCUCUUCGCAAUGCUAAAAGCUGCGGAGGUAGAAAUCAAGAAGGAGCAUCAAGUGUUGAUGGUUAACAAGACCACCAGUUUCAAGAAAAAGGGCAAAGGGAAGAAGAAGGGGAACUUCAAAAAGAACGGCAAACAAGUUGCUGCUCAAGAGAAGAAACCCAAGUCUGGACCUAAGCCUGAAACUGAGUGCUUCUACUGCAAGCAGACUGGACACUGAAAGCGGAACUGCCCCAAGUAUUUGGCGGAUAAGAAGGAUGUCAAAGUGAACAAAGGUAUAUGUGAUAUACAUGUUAUUGAUGUGUACCUUACUAAUGCUCGCAGUAGCACCUGGGUAUUUGAUACUGGUUCUGUUGCUAAUAUUUGCAACUCGAAACAGGGACUACGGAUUAAGCGAAGAUUGGCUAAGGACGAGGUGACGAUGCGCGUGGGAAAUGGUUCCAAAGUCGAUGUGAUCGCGGUCGGCAUGCUACCUCUACAUCUACCAUCGGGAUUAGUUUUAGACCUAAAUAAUUGUUAUUUGGUGCCCGCGUUGAGCAUGAACAUUAUAUCUGGAUCUUGUUUGAUGCGAGACGGUUAUUCAUUUAAAUCAGAGAAUAAUGGUUGUUCUAUUUAUAUGAUUAAUAUCUUUUAUGGUCAUGCACCCUUGAAGAAUGGUCUAUUUUUAUUGAAUCUCGAUAGUAGUGAUACACAUAUUCAUAGUGUUGAAACCAAAAGAUGCAGAGUUGAUAACGAUAGUGCAACUUAUUUGUGGCACUGCCGUUUGGGUCAUAUCGGUGUAAAGCGCAUGAAGAAACUCCAUACUGAUGGGCUUUUGGAAUCACUUGAUUAUGAAUCACUUGGUACUUGUGAAUCGUGCCUUAUGGGCAAGAUGACUAAAACGCUGUUCUCCGGAACUAUGGAGCGGGCAACUAAUUUAUUGGAAAUCAUACAAAUUGAUGUUUGUGGUCCAAUGAAUGUUGAGGCUCGCGGCGGAUAUCGUUAUUUUCUCACCUUCACAGAUGAUUUGAGCAGAUAUGGGUAUAUCUACUUAAUGAAACACAAGUCUGAAACAUUUGAAAAGUUCAAAGAAUUUCAGAGUGAAGUGGAAAAUCAUGGUAACAAGAAAAUAAAGUUUCUACGAUCUAAUCAUGGAGGAGAAUAUUUGAGUUACGAGUUUGGUCUACACUUGAAACAAUGCAGAAUAGUUUUGCAACUCACGCCACCCGGAACACCACAACGAAAUGGUGUGUCCGAACGUCGUAAUCGUACUUUACUAGAUAUGGUGCGAUCUAUGAUGUCUCUUACUGAUUUACCGCUAUCAUUUUGGGGUUAUGCUUUAGAGACGGCCGCAAUCACGUUAAAUAGGGCACCAUCAAAAUCCGUUGAGACGACACCUUAUGAACUGUGGUUUGGCAAGAAACCAAAGUUGUCGUUUCUUAAAGUUUGGGGCUGCAAUGCUUAUGUGAAGAAACUUCAACCAGAUAAGCUCGAACCCAAAUCGGAGAAAUGUGUCUUCAUAGGAUACCCAAAAGAGACUAUUGGGUACACCUUCUAUCACAGAUCUCGAAAGAAGUGAGUGGGAGGAAAGUAGAAAUUGAUGAGAUAACUGUAUCUGCUCCCUUGUUGGAAAGUAGUUCAUCACAAGAACCGGUUCCUGUGACAACUACACCAACUACUGAGGAAGCUAAUGAUAUUGAUCAUGAAACUUCAGAUCAAGUUUCUACUGAACCUCGUAGGUCUACCAGAGUAAGAUCCGCACCAGAGUGGUACGGUAAUCCUAUUCUGGAAGUCAUGUUACUUGACCAUGAUGAACCUACGAACUAUGAGGAAGCGAUGAUGAGCCCAGAUUCUGCAAAAUGGCUAGAGGCCAUGAAAUCUGAGAUGGGAUCCAUGUAUGAAAACAAAGUAUGGACUUUGGUUGACUUGCCCGAUGAUCGUCAAGCCAUUGAGAAUAAAUAGAUCUUUAAGAAGAAGACUGACGCUGAUGGUAAUAUAACUGUCUAUAAAGCUCGACUUGUUGCGAAAGGUUUUCGACAAGUUCAAGGGGUUGACUACGAUGAGACUUUCUCACCCGUAGCGAUGCUUAAGUCUGUCCGAAUCAUGUUAGCUAUUGCUGCAUUUCAUGAUUAUGAAAUUUGGCAAAUGGAUGUCAAAACUGCAUUCUUGAAUGGAUUUCUGCAAGAAGAGUUGUAUAUGAUGCAGCCAGAAGGUUUUGUUGAUCCAAAAGGUGCUAACAAAGUAUGCAAGCUCCAGCGAUCCAUUUAUGGACUGGUGCAAGCAUCUCGGAGUUGGAAUAAACGUUUUGAUAGUGUGAUCAAAGCAUAUGGUCUUAUACAGACUUUUGGAGAAGCCUGUAUUUACAAGAAAGUGAGUGGGAGCUCUGUAACAUUUCUAAUAUUAUGUGUAGAUGACAUAUUAUUAAUUGGAAAUGAUAUAGAAUUUCUGGAUAGCAUAAAGGGAUACUUGAAUAAAAGUUUUUCAACGAAAGACCUCGGUGAAGCUGCUUACAUAUUGGGCAUCAAGAUCUAUAGAGAUAGAUCAAGACGCUUAAUAGGACUUUCACAAAGUACAUACCUUGAUAAAAUUUUGAAAAAGUUCAAAAUGGAUCAGGCAAAGAAAGGGUUCUUGCCCGUGCUACAAGGUGUGAAGUUGAGUCAAACUCAAUGCCCGACCACAGCAGAAGAUAGAGAUAAAAUGAAAGAGGUUCCCUAUGCUUCAGCCAUAGGCUCUAUCAUGUAUGCAAUGCUGUGUACCAGACCUGACGUAUGCUUAGCAAUAAGUUUGGCAGGAAGGUACCAAAGUAAUCCAGGAGUGGAUCACUGGACAGCGGUCAAGAACAUCCUGAAAUACCUGAAAAGGACUAAGGAUAUGUUUCUCGUAUAUGGAGGUGACAAAGAGCUAGUCGUAAAUGGUUACGUCGAUGCAAGCUUUGACACUAAUCCGGACGAUUCUAAAUCGCAAACCGGAUACGUGUUUUUAUUAAACAGUGGAGCUAUAAGUUGGUGCAGUUCUAAACAAAGCGUCGUGGCGGGAUCUACAUGUGAAGCGGAGUACAUAGCUGCUUCAGAAGCAGCAAAUGAAGGAGUCUGGAUGAAGGAGUUCAUUUCCGAUCUAGGUGUCAUACCUAGUGCAUCGGGACCAAUGAAGAUCUUCUCUGACAAUACUGGUGCAAUUGCCUUGGCAAAGGAAUCCAGAUUUCACAAGAGGACCAAGCACAUCAAGAGACGCUUCAAUUCCAUUCGGGACCAAGUCCAAGUGGGAGACAUAGAGAUUUGCAAGAUACAUACGGAUCUGAAUGUUGCAGACCCGUUGACUAAGCCUCUCUCACGAGCAAAACAUGAUCAGCACCAAGACUCCAUGGGUGUUAGAAUCAUUACUAUGUAAUCUAGAUUAUUGACUCUAGUGCAAGUGGGAGACUGAAGGAAAUAUGCCCUAGAGGCAAUAAUAAAGUUAUUAUUUAUUUCCUCAUAUCAUGAUAAAUGUUUAUUAUUCAUGCUAGAAUUGUAUUAACCGGAAACAUGAUACAUGUGUGAAUACAUAGACAACAUAUAGUCACUAGUAUGCCUCUACUUGACUAGCUCAUUGAUCAAAGAUGGUUAUGUUUCCUAACCAUAGACAUGUGUUGUCAUUUGAUUAAUGGGAUCACAUCAUUAGGAGAAUGAUGUGAUUGAUAUUACCCAUUCCGUUAGCCUAGCACUUGAUCGUUUAGUAUACUGCUAUUGCUUUCUUCAUGACAUAUACAUGUUCCUAUAACUAUGAGAAUUAUGCAACUCCCGUUUACCGGAGGAACACUUUGGGUACUAACAAACAUCACAACGUAAUUGGGUGAUUAUAAAGGAGUACUACAGGUGUCUCCGAAGGUACAUGUUGAGUUGGCGUAUUUCGAGAUUAGGUUUUGUCACUUCGAUUGUCGGAGAGGUAUCUCUAGGCCCUCUCGGUAAUGCACAUCACUAUAAGCCUUGCAAGCAAUGUAACCAAUGAGUUGGUUACGGGAUGAUGCAUUACGUAAUGAGUAAAGAGACUUGUCGGUAAUGAGAUUGAACUAGGUAUUGGAUACCGACGAUCAAAUCUCGGGCAAGUAACCUACCGAUGACAAAGGGAACAACGUAUGUUGUUAUGCGGUUUGACCGAUAAAGAUCUUCGUAGAAUAUGUAGGAACCAAUAUGGGCAUCCAGGUCCCGCUAUUGGUUAUUGACCGAGAAUAGUUCUAGGUCAUGUCUACAUAGUUCUCGAACCCGUAGGGUCCGCACGCUUAACGUUACGAUGACAGUUUUAUUAUGAGUUUAUAAGUUUUGAUGUACCGAAGUUUGUUCGGAGUCCCGGGUGUGAUCACGGACAUGACGAGGAGUCUCGAAAUGGUCGAGACAUAAAGAUCGAUAUAUUGGAAGCCUAUAUUUGGACAUCGGAAUCUUUCCGGGUGAAAUCGGCAUUUUACCGGAGUACUGGGAGGUUACCGGAACCCCCCGGGGGGUUAUUGGGCCUACAUGGGCCUCGAGGGAGAAGAGGGAAGGAGGCAGGAGGGGGCCGCGCGCCCCUCCCCUUCCUAGUCCGAAUAGGACAAGGGAAGGGGGGUGGCGCCCCCCUUUCCUUCCCCUCUUUCUCCUCUUUCCCCCCUUCUCCUGCUCCAACUAGGAAAGAAGGGAGUCCUACUCCCGGUGGGAGUAGGACUCCCCCCUUGGCGCGCCCUCCUUGGCCGGCCGCCUCCUCCCCCCUGGCUCCUUUAUAUACGGGGGCGUGGGGCACCCAUGGACACACAAGUUGAUCUACGGAUCGUUCCUUAGCCGUGUGCGGUGCCCCCCUCCACCAUAUUCCACCUCGGUCAUAUUGUCGCGGAGUUUAGGCGAAGCCCUGCGCCGGUAGAACAUCAUCAUCAUCACCACGCCGUCGUGUUGACGGAACUCAUCUCCGAAGCUUUGCUGGAUCGGAGGCCGGAGAUCGUCUUCGAGCUGAACGUGUGCUGAACUCGGAGGUGCCGUACGUUCGGUACUUGGAUCGGUCGGAUUGUGAAGACAUACGACUACAUCAACCGCAUUGUCAUAACGCUUCCGCUUAUGGUCUACGAGGGUACGUGGACAAUACUCUCCCCUCUUGUUGCUAUGCCAUCACCAUGAUCUUGCGUGUGCGUAGGGAAUUUUUUGAAAUUACUACGUUCCCCAACAUCUUCAUACCUAGUUCAAUAUCAUUACCGGCAAGUCUCUUUACUUGUUCCGUAAUACAUCACCUGGUGACUAACUCCUUAGUCGUUUGCUUGCAAGCAUAGGAUGUGUAUUACUGAGAGGGCCUAGAGAUACCUCUUCGAUACUCGGAGUGACAAAUCCUAAUCUCGAUCUAUGCCAACUCAACAAACACCUUCGGACAUACCUGUAGAGCAUCUUUAUAAUCACCCAGUUACUUUGUGACGUUUGAUAGCACAUAAGGCAUUCCUCCGGUAUCCGGGAGUUGCAUAAUCUCAUAGUCGAAGGAAUAUGUAUUUGACAUGAAGAAAGAAAUAGCAAUAAAACUGAACGAUCAUUAUGUUAAGCUAACGGAUGGGUCUUGUCCAUCAGAUCAUUCUCCUAAUGAUGUGAUCUCGUUAUCAAAUGACAGCUCAUGUCCAUGGUUAGGAAACCUUCACAAUCUUUGAUCAACAAGCUAGUCUAGUAGAGGCUCGCUAGGGACACAAUAUUUGUUUAUGUAUUCACACAUGUAUUUAGGUUUCCGAUCAAUACAAUUCUAGCAUGAAUAAUAAACCUUUAUCAUGAAUAAGUAAAUAUAAAAUAACAACUUUAUUAUUGCCUCUAGGGCAUAUUUCCUUCAGUCUCCCACUUGUACUAAAGUCAAUAAUCUAGUUUACAUCGCCAUGUGAUUAACACCCAUAGUUCACAUCGCCAUGUGACUAACACCCAAAGAGUACUAAGGUGUGAUCAUGUUAUGCUUGUGAGAGAAGUUUAGUCAACAGGUCUGCCACAUUCAGAUCUGUAUGUAUUUUGCAAAUUUCUAUGUCUACAAUGCUCUGCAUUGAGCUACUCUAGCUAAUUGCUCCCACGUUCAAUAUGUAUCAUGAUUGAUACUUAGAGUCAUCUAGAUCAGUGUCAAAGCUUGCAUCGACGUAACUCUUUAUCCCCUCCAUAACAGAGAAACAUUUCCUUGGUCUUCUUUAAGGCAACUAAGGAUAAUUUUGACUGAUGUCCAGUGAUCUACUCUUGGAUCACUAUUGUACCCACUUGCCAAACUCAUGGCAAGGCACACAAUAGGUCUGGUACACAACAUGGCAUACUUUAUAGAACCAAUGGCUGAGACAUAGGGAAUGCCUUUCAUUCUCUCUUUAUCUUCCGCCAUGCUCGGGGUUUGCGUCUUACUCAACUUCACACCUUACAAUACAGGCAAGAACUCCUUCUUUGACUGAUCCAUUUUGAACUCCUUCAAAAUCUUGUCAAGGUAUGUACUCAUUGAAAGUCUUAUCAAGCAUCUUGAUCUAUAUCUAUAGAUCUUGAUGCCCAAUAUGUAAGCAGCUUCACCGAGGUAUUUCAUUGAAAAAUUCUUAUUCAAGUAUCCCUAUGCUAUCCAGAAAUUCUAUAUCAUUUCCAGUCAACAAUAUGUCAACCACAUAUAAUAUCAGAAAUGCUAUAGAGCUCUCAUUCACUUUAUUGUAAAUACAGGCUUCACCAUAAGUCUGUAUAAAACCAUAUGCUUUGAUCACCUCAUAAAAGCAUAUAUUUCCAACUCUGAGAUGCUUGCACCAGUCCAUAGAUGGAUCGCUGGAGCUUGUAAGCUUUGUUAGCACCUUUAGGAUCAAAAAAACCUUUUGGUUGCAUCAUGCAACUCCUCUUUGAGAUAUCCAUUUAAGGAAUGUAGUUUUGACAUCCAUUUGCCAGAUUUCAUAAUCAUAAAUUGUGGCAAUUGCUAACAUGAUUCGGACGGAUUUAAGCAUCGCUAUCGGUGAGAAGGUCUCAUCGUAGUCAACCCCUUGAACUUGUCGAAAACCUUUUGCGACAGGUUGAGCAUUGUAGACAGUAACAUUACCAUCAGCGUCAGUAUUCUUCUUUAAGAUCCAUUUAUGGCUUGCCGAUCAUCAGGCAAAUCCACCAAAGUCCACACUUUGUUAUCAUACAUGGAUCCUAUCUCAGAUUUUAUGGCCUCAUAUCAUUUGUCAAAAUCUGGGCUCAUCAUAGCUUCUUCAUAAUUCGUAGGUUCGUCUUGGUCUAGUAACAUGACUUCUAGGACAGGAUUACCGUAACACUCUGGUCGACCUAAGAAAUUCAGUAGUAACAUGAUCUGAAGUUUCCCGAUCAUCAUCAUUAGCUUCCUCUCUAGUUGGUGUAGGCAUCAUGCGAACAAUUUUCUCUGAUGUAGUACUUUCCAAUUCGAGAGAAGGUGCAUUUUCAUCAUCAACUUCUACUUUCCUCUCACUCACUUCUUUCGAGAGAAACUCCUUCUCUAGAAAGGACCCAUUCUUAGCAACAAAGAUCUUGCUUUUGGAUAUGUGGUAGAAGGUGUACCCAAUAGUUCCCUUAAGAUAUCCUAUGAAGACGCACUUCCCCGAUUUGGGUUCGAGCUUAUCAGGCUAAAGCCUUUUGACAAAAGUGUCGCAACCCCAAACUUUAAGAAACAACAGCUUAGGUUUCUUGCCAAACCAUAGUUCAUAUGGUGUCGUCUCAACAGAUUUAUACGGUGCCCUGCUACGUCUUGAGCUUGCGUUGGUUUUCCUUGAAGAGGAAAGAGGGAUGCACCAAUAGUAGCGUAAGUAUUUCCCUCGGUUUUUGAGAACCAAGGUAUCAAUCCAGUAGGAGGCUCCUCAAAAGUCCCACGCACCUACACAAACAAACAAAGAACUCGCAACCAACGCAAUAAAGGGGUUGUCAAUCCCUUCACGGCCACUUGCGAAAGUGAGAUCUGAUAGAGAUGGUAUGAUAAGAUAAAUAUUUUUUUGGUAUUUUAUAAUAUAGAUGCAAAAAGUAAAGAUGCAAAUAAAAGUAGAUUGAAAGCUUAUAUGAUAAAAGAUAGACCCGGGGGCCAUAGGAUUCACUAGAGGCUUCUCUCAAGAUAGCAUAAGUAUUACGGUGGGUGAACAAAUUACUAUCGAGCAAUUGAUGGAAAAGCGAAUAAUUAUGAGAUUAUCUAGGCAUGAUCAUGUAUAUAGGCAUCACGUCCGCAACAAGUAGACCGACUCCUGCCUACAUCUACUACUAUUACUCCACACACCGACCGACUCCUGCCUGCAUCUAGAGUAUUAAGUUCAUAAGAAUAGAGUAACGCCUUAAGCAAGAUGACAUGAUGUAGAGGGAUAAACUCAUGCAAUAUGAUAUAAACCCCAUCUUUUUAUCCUCGAUGGUAACAAUACAAUACAUGUCUUGCAACCCUUUCUGUCACUGGGUAAGAACACCGCAAGAUUGAACCCAAAGCUAAGCACUUCUCCCAUGGCAAGAAAGAUCAAUAUAGUAGGCCAAAGCAAACUGAUAAUUCGAAGAGACUUGCAAAGAUAACUCAAUCAUACAUAAAAGAAUUUAGAGGAGAUUCAAAUAUUUCUCAUACAUAAACUUGAUCAUAAACCCACAAUUCAUCGGAUCUCGACAAACACACCGCAAAAAGAGUUUACAUCGAAUAGAUCUCCACAAGAGAGGGGGAGAACAUUGUAUUGAGAUCCAAAAAGAGAGAAGAAGCCAUCUAGCUAAUAACUAUGGACCCGAAGGUCUGUGGUAAACUACUCACAACUCAUCGGAGGGGCUAUGGUGUUGAUGUAGAAGCCCUCCAUGGUCGAUUCCCCCUCCGGCAGAGCGCCGGCGAAGGCUCCAAGACAGGAUCUCGCGAAUAUAGAAGGUUACGAUGGUGAAAAUUGUGUUUCAUUGGCUCCCUAGAUGUUUUUGGGGUACGUAGGCUUAUAUAGGAGGAAGAAGUACGUCGGUGGCCGCUCGUGGGGCCCAUGAGACAGGGGGCGCGCCCUGUAGGGGUGGGCGCGCCCUCCCCUCUCGUGGCCACCUCGGCUGCUUCUUGACUUGCACUCCAAGUCCUCUGGAUCACGUUCGUUCCAAAAAUCACACUCCCGAAGGUUUCAUUCUGUUUGGACUCCGUUUGAAAUUCCUUUUCUUCGAAAUACUAAAAUAGGCAAAAAAACAGCAAUACGGGCUGGGCCUCCGGUUAGUAGGUUAGUCCCAAAAAUGAUAUAAAUGUGUAAAAUAAAGCCCAUAAACAUCCAAAAGGGGUAAUAUAAUAGCAUGGAACAAUCAAAAAUUAUAGAUACGUUGGAGACGUAUCAAGCAUCCCCAAGCUUUAUUCCUCCUCGUCCUCGAGUAGGUAAAUGAUAAAAACAGAAUUUUUGAUGUGGAAUGCUACCUAGCAUAAUUCUCAAUGUAAUUUUCUUUAUUGUGGCAUGAAUGUUCAUAUCCAAAUGAUUCAAAAUAAAAGUUCAUAUUGAUAAAAGAAAUAGUAACACUUCAAGCAUACUAAUCAAAGUAAUCAUGUCUUCUCAAAAUAACAUGGCAAAAGAAAGUUCAUCCCUACAAAAUCAUAUAGUUAGGCUAUGCUUCAUUUUUGUCACACAAAGAUGUUCCCAACUUCUAUACCCCCGAUGACAAGCCAAGCAAUUGUUUCAUACUUAAAUAAUCUCAAACUUUUUCAACCUUCACGCAAUACAUGAGCGUGAGCCAUGGAUAUAGCACUAUGGGUGGAAUAGAAUAUGAUGAUGUGGAUCGUGUGGAGAAGACAAAAAAGGAGAAAGUCUCACAUUGACAAGGAUAAUCAAUGGGCUAUGGAGAUGCCCAUUGAGGAGUCCUGGAUUAGGGGGUAUCCGGAUAGCCGGACUAUAUACUUUGUCCGGACUAUUGGAGCGUGAAGAUACAAGACUCAAGACUCCGUCCCGUGUUCGGAUGGGACUCUCCUUUGCGUGGAAGACAAGCUUGGCGAUACGGAUAUUGUAUUUCCUUCUUUGUAACCGACUCCAUGUAAACCCUAGCCCCUCCGGUGUCUAUAUAAACCGGAGGGUUUAGUCCUUAGAGGGACAAUCAGAAUCAUAAUCAUCAUAGGCUAGCUUCUAGGAUUUAGCCUCUACGAUCUCGUUGUAGAUCAACUCUUGUACUACUCAUAUCAUCAAUAUCAAUCAAGCAGGAAGUAGGGUUUUACCUCCAUCGAGAGGGCCCGAACUUGGGUAAACACUGUGUCCCUUGCCUCCUGUUAUCAUUAGCCUAAGACGCACAGAUCGGGACCCCCUACCCGAGAUCCGCCGGUUUUGACACCGACAAUGGAGCUUUCAUUGAGAGUUCCUCUGUGUCGUUGCUGCAAGGCUUGAUGGCUCCUUCAAUCGUCAACAACACGGUACAGGGUGAGACUUUUCUCCCCGGACAGAUCUUCAUGUUCGGCGGCUUCGCACUGCGGGCUAAUUCGCUUGGCCAACUGGAGCAGAUCGACAGCUACGCCCCUGGCCACCAGGUCAGGUUCGGAAACCUAAACUACAUGGCCGAUAUCCGCGGAGACUUGAUCUUCAACUGGUUCGGGCCUGCGCCAGGAGUGUCGGACAAUCACGAUGAGCACGGCUUAGACCUGCUGUCGGACAAUGCUCGGUAUAUCACCCGUGCAGUAGCCUCGGACCUAAAUCCGGAGCAGACUGCAUUGCCCAAGGACGGAUGGAUGGACCCCGUCCCGCAGGCCGCACACUCAUCGGCGGUAGAGCCGAACACAGGCCUCACCCCCAAAGAAGCCUGUGACACUGGACCCCCAGACUCGUAUCCGGCUGUAGGUUCUAGUCCGCGCGCUCCUAAGCCCGCCGAACCUAGUUGGGCUCCGGUAAUGGAGUUCACCGCUGCGGACAAGGGCGAGUGCUGAACUCGUUAAAGUCUCUCUCUUUGUCAGGAGACUCUUGGCCGAACUAUGUCCGGCUCGAGUAGGAAGCAGGCGACGAAGGAAUUCGUUGCCCACCCACCACCCACUUCAUUGCCACGGUCGAUGAUUUAACCGACGUGCUUGACUUCGACUCCGAAGACAUCGACAGUAUGGACAGCAAUGCAGGAGAAGAACAGGAACCACCGCUCAUAGGGCGGUGGACAGCCACCUCCUCAUAUGAUAUAUAUAUAUAUAUAUAUAUAUAUAUAUAUAUAUAUAUAUAUAUAUAUAUGGUGGACACUCCGAAGGAAACCAAUGGCGAUGAGGCAAUGGAGGAUAACCCCUCAGGGAAGAAAGCUAACCAUGGGCGUCGUCAACGCUGCUCCAAGCCCAGCCACAACAAUACCGGCACAGGAGACGAAAACAAUCCGGACGGUGCCAAAGAUGAAUACAAUCCUGAUCAGCCUGCCUUCAAGCAGGCCGGAUUGGCCACGGUCAGAUACUUGGAGAGGGACAACUAUAUGCCCCUUCCGAAGACGAGGUGAGCCUCGGCGAUGAUGAAUUCGGCGUGCCCGAGGAUCCCGCGGAACAAGUUCUCUUCAAGCGACGGCUUAUGGCCAUUGCGAGGAGCCUGCAAAGGAAGCAACGGCAGCUCAAAGCUGACCAAGAUUUGCUCAUGGACAGAUGGACCAAGGUCCUGACCACCGAGGAAUAAGGACUCGACUGCCCUGACAAAGGGCACACACACGGUAUAAUUCGCUACAUCAUCCUAAGAAGGAGAUACCAAGGCACAUACCCCGACGCCAACAUACCACCACGAUCCAGGAUAAUAUGCAAGAAAGACGAGGCGGCAUCCUCAAGCCUCGGCACAAUCAUCAUAAACGUCAAGCCAGGGAAGAUGGUGCCAAAUUCAGCUGUCCCAAGUCCGGUCAGCGGAAAAAGAACAGCUCAGGCCCAUCCGGCCCAAGUAGCAUACUCGAUCAACCAUGCGAAAUACAUGGUACCCCUAGAAGGGCGGCCAAGCACACCAAUAGAGAAUGCCGGAUCCUCAAAACAAAACGGCCAGUCACACGCUGGAAACAAUGAAGGGAGGUCUCCAACAACGAAAGACCAAUCAAACAUGGCGAAGUCAAAAGAAGAUCCUCCACAGUACAAAAAUACGGCUGAUCUUCACCGAUCACAUCGACCGUCCGGACAACAUCAGCCACAGCAAUUUAAUUGCACUCACUAUCGACCCAAUAGUCCGGGGGCUACAUCUGACACGAGCCCCCGCAGGCAUAAAAUUAUCAAUGGCAUCUUCUAAAAGAUGCCAGGUGCAAAAGCCAAGUUUUAUUAGCCCACCACUUCAAUGGUCGUCUUCAGAUCAUCAAACAAAUACCACGCCGAAGAGUAAGUCUUCGGCACUGUCCCCUUAUACAGUAAUUACCACACACUGCUGGGACAAGCCACGUUGGCUAGAUUCAACGAGGUAUAACAUUAGGCCAGUCCCACAUGACAUAGUCACAAUUAUGGGCAGGGCCAAACCCCACCCUUAGAGUGGAAAUCAUAAAGGUGCUAGAAUAGUGGGGCGUGCCUGUUUAUCAAAUUUUGAUUCGGCAGCCAACUACCCGGACACCAACUGAGGAGUCCACGCUAUCUUACGGCAUGACAACCUGGUUCAGCCAAGCUCCGAUCAGGCACCCGUGGUUCAAGCACAGCAGUGCAUGCACCUGCCUUCAAGCAUUUGUCUUUACAGACUAACUUUGGCACAGAACAGGACUGGCGACGCGGAAUCAGCUCGGAUGCACAAGGCAGGAACACAUAGGCAGUCCGGAUACACCUUAGAUCCACACACAGCCUCCUCCAGUCCGGCCACGACAGGUUCCGCCAAAAAACACUCCUUUUCAUAAGCAUAAACCGCACUCAUAUGCAUAAACAUGUCAUUUUACUACAAUGCGUAGACUUAAAUAACACUUACCGGACGUCGUUUCUCAUCGACGCCUUUUUGUCACAAACGACAUCCACGCCUUGUGUUAUGCCCGAUUAUGCCAGGGGCUUCAUAGUACGGCAAUAAAGUCCGACCACCUUUUCGGUCGUUCGGCACCCCGAAUUUAUAGCACUAUAUAUAUGCAUCAGCUCUGAAUCAUGUCUUGGGUCAUUAGUUGGGUUUGCCCGGCUCCCAUGUUUUGGUACCUUACGUUCUGCUCCAUCGGCUAAGGUAGCACUGGGAGAACUACUGCGAUUGUGUCCCGGUUCUUCCGGACGAGCACCUCACUAGAGAAAGACGAAAACUAACUGUCAUGAUACAGCGAGAGCUGGUCAGCUGUUCGAGAGGUUGUAAAAUCUUUAAAGAUUUAUUCCGCACAAUGCCAUUAUAAAUGCAAUGUGCGACGGAUCGGUCUUCCGAUCAGGCGCCGAUAGAGCCCCCAGUUCCGCCUUCUGAACACCAGGGGUUGCGCCCACCAUACUCGAAUUCCUAUGGCUAAGUGAGAGUAGUAAAGCCCUAUAGUCUGACUGCCUGGUUCGUAGCGAGGAGCACCUCCUUAAAAGGACCCAACAAUGGGAUAAAGAGUGUUCAGGUAUGUCCCGAACACCCUCGUACUUUUUACGUGGGGGCAGAAGCCGACGACUGGCCAACUCUUAGGAUUUAUAUACACUAAACAGCCGCACGGGAAGAACAAAUGUUCAAAUAAAAAGGCAAUAAAUAAUAAAAGUGCCAUUAUCCCACAUUACAAAGAAUGGCACAACUGCCUUCAGGGAAUUAUAGUGUCUUUGGUACACUUAUCCGCCACAAGGCGGGCUCCUUCCAAUACACCCUCAUAGUAUAACUCGGGCUUGCGAUGCUCCUUACCCUCCGGCGGCCCUUCAGUCAUCAGCUUCUCAGCAUCAAGCUUCCCCCAAUGCACCUUCGCACGGGCAAACGCCAUGCGUGCACCCUCUAUGCAGACCGAUCGCUUAAUGACAUCAUGCCGAGGGCAAGCGCCAACAAUCCGCUUCACGAGUCUGAAGUAACUGCUUGGAAUUGGCUCCGUGGGCCACAGCGGACAACCAAGUCCUUCAUGGCUAGUUCGGCUGCCUGGUGCAGUUCGACCAGCUGCUUCAGCUGAUCAAUAAAGGGCACCGGAUAAUUCGGUGCCAAAUACUACGACCAGAAAUCCCUCUUCGCAGACUUCUUCUCCUCGGUUCGGUAGAAUUGGGCAGCAUCUGAUAUGCUGUGAGGCAGAUCCGCAAACGCCCCUGGAGAAAACAAGAAUUCAGCUUAUCGCUUAGAGUUCCUCUCAUUAUCAUGUAAAAAUAGCCAUGAGUACAAAAGGCCUUACCAGCCGCAACCUUCCGAGCCUCCUGAAUAUCCCUUAGAGCACCUCGGGCUUCUUCCCGAGCAUCCUCUGCGGCUUGGAGAGCUUGGGCGAGUUCGGAUUCUUUCCCUACUAGACUCUGCUCCAAGCCCUCCCUUUUCUUCACGGCCUCCAGGAGCUCUCGCUCAGCUUCAAUGACCCUGGCCUCGUGCUUCUCACGAAGAGCCUGUUCGGCGGCGGCCUUACUAUCGGCUUCGGCCACAGCCUUCUUCAGUGCCUCAAUUUCGGUACUCGCCCCUAGAGCAUAUAAUGCAAAUAUCUUAAUUAGGCACAACUUCUAAUUCGUGCUCAACUUAGCACAAGGUUCCGACAUACCUUGUCUGUCCUCAAACUGCUUCUUCACGCGGCCAAGUUCCCCUUCGGCCCGUUCCAGACGUUGCUUUAGUUCGAACACCUCCGCAUUAUGAGCGGCGGUCGUCCCUGCAGACACCUGUUUUCAAACAAAGGGAUACACAUCAUUACCUGAGUCUCCAGCAAAACAGAAAAAUUUGAUCCCCUGUUCGGCUUUCUUUCGCUGGACAGUGCAUCAGGGGAUACUACUCAUAUUAUGACAAUCUCCCAAAGGUUUCUUAAAACAUACCUCAAAGCCCUUAAGACUAAGGCAGGAUUCGUUCAGUCAGCUCUUAGUGGACUGAAUCUUUUCAAUCACCGCACCCAUGAGGGCACGAUGCUCAUCGACGAUAGACGCGCUUCUUAGCGCUGUCGAUAGGCCGCCCGGCAGCUCUGCUUGGACAGAGGCCGCUGGCGAAGCAGGCAAGCCCCCCAAAGGCGGCUGCUCACCCGAUCCUGGAGAUUUAAAGGUCUCCAGGACCGUGUCCGGCUGGGGUCCGGACCUAAGAUCACCCCCGCCAUCGACACGCAUGGGAGCCUCUGCUCCCGUGUGUCCGGCCCCAGAGAUAUGCCCCCCCUGGUGCAGGUCCCGCUGAGACGACACCUCGGUGUCGCGCCUAGGCUUAGGGGAAGGGGCCUCUGGAGGUGUCUCGCUCGCCAGGGCAUCUGACCUCAGCGAAUCCUUCGAUGAGGACUGUCCGAAAUGGGACCUCGCCGGGCUGUACGAAAUAUGGCGACAGUUAAAACUACUACAUUCAAACAACCCCGGGCGCGUAUGCAUGUUCGGAUUUCAUAUACUUACGACUUUUCCAGGGGCUGGACCCUGGGAUCCCACUCCGGGCUGCUAUCAGCAGCCGUGGUGGAUGCCUCUGGGAGGGAACCUUUCCCCCUCUUUUGGCGAUUCGGCCUAUAGGGAUGAGGAAGCCGUCCUUUUCUUCCCACCCCCUGCGGGAGGCUCGUCUUCCUCCGCCUCCUCCUAUUCGUCUUCGGAAGAAGGAUGGUCGCUGUAGUCUUCGGAUUUUGCGUCCGAAGCAUCGCGACGAUGGAGGCCACUUCGGGUCUUCUUGACCUUCUUGGAAGCCUCUUUCUUCGGCGCGUCAUAGGGCGCUGGGACCAGCAUCUUCUUCAGAAGAGGUCCGGUCGGUUCCUCCGGCAGUGGGGCAGGACAAUGUAUUCGCUCCACCUUUUUUAUCCAUCCCUGGGGUUAUGAUAAAACAUGAUAAAAGUGUCUCCCUCAGGACAUGCCAACUGAAGCGUGGAUGGACAGAGCAUAGCAAUAACUUACCGGACUUGUAGAGUGGGAUAAUUGAUACCCACGGUCCUCGACGGAGCCCGGCCAUGAUUUGCCGGACUUAAAGAGCACCUUCCAGAUAUCCUUGUGGGAGGAACCAUAGAGCUCCCGAAGGGUCUGGUGCUCGGUUGGGUCAUAUUCCCACUAAUUGCAGGCUCGACGCUGGCAAGGGAGAACCAGGCGAACUAACAUCACCUGGACUACGUCGACGAGUUUGACAUCCUUGUCGACCACACUCUGGAAGCGCGUCUGGAGCAGUGACAGCUCAUCGGACAAGGACCAGUUCAGGCCCUUCUCGGGCCAGGACGUGAGCCGCAGUGGGGCUCCGGAUCUGAACUCAGGAGCCGCAGCCCACUUUUUGCCGCGCGGUUUGGUGAUAUAGAACCAUUGUUGCUGCCACUCCUUGACAGAGUCAUUGAAGGCGCUCGUCGGCCAUACAACCUUGGGCAUCUUGCUCACCAUGGCGCCGCCACACUCUACAUGCUCACCACUCACCACCUUGGGCAUCACAUUGAAAAUCUUCAGCCAUAGGCAAAAGUGAGGCGAAAUUCAGAGAAAAGCCUCACACACGACGAUGAACGUUGAGAUAUUAAGGAAAGAAUUGGGGGACAGAUCAUGAAAGUCAAUCCCGUAAUAAUACAUGAUACCACGAAUGAAUGGGUGAAGGGGAAACCCGAGCCCGUGGAAAAAAUGAGGAAGAAACAAGACCCUCUCGUGGGGCUCCGGAGUGGGGACAAUCUGUCCCGCCGGCGGAAGAUGAUGGCCGAUCUUUUUGGCUAGGUACCCGGCCUCUCGGAGCCUCUUGAUAUCCUUCUCCUGGACGGUAGAGGCCAUCCAUUUGCCUCAUGCUCCAGAACCAGACAUCUUCGGAGAACCUCUCUUCGGUGGAGAAGAAGAGUGCUUGGGCGCUAGGGCUCGAGCACAGGGGAAUGGACUAGCAGAGAGAAAAGGCGUGAGUGAAAAGGAAGAGACCUUAUCUCUUUAUAGAGGCGAUAAAAGCUUUUGCGCCUCCCCACUUGCCUGGUGGGACCCGCUCGUUCUCCACUCGCCACAAUUAGUGGUGCGUUUGGGUUACCCGUACCCGUAUUGGUGAGAAUCCCGCAAUAAGGGGACACGAUCUCUGCUUCGGCAGGACAUGCAGAGGAAACCGCCUUGCGAUAUGCGCUGAGGCUGGUUGUGGGAAAACGGUUCAAAUAAUGACUCGACCGUAGUAUCAUGUCGCUUUGUCUAAAAUUGCCAGCAGAUCAGAUUUAUGCUAUGCUCUCUACGGUGGUAUGUGAAGAUCAUCUUGCAGAUCCGGACACGGUCUAAGUGUUCGAUAAUUAUUUUGGAGUAUUCGGAGAUGGAACCCGCCUUGCAAUGCCGAAGACAAAACUGCACGCCGGACUCAUCGUCAUUGAAGCCUAGUUCAGGGGCUACUCAGGGAGUCCUGGAUUAGGGGGUAUCCGGACAGCCGGACUAUAUACUUUGUCCAGACUAUUGAAGCGUGAAGAUACAAGACUCAAGACUCCGUCCCGUGUCCAGAUGGGACUCUCAUUUGCGUGGAAGACAAGCUUGGCGAUCCGGAUAUGGUAUUUCCUUCUUUGUAACCGACUCCAUGUAAACCCUAGCCCCCUCCGGUGUCUAUAUAAACUGGAGGGUUUAGUCCUUAGAGGGACGAUUAGAAUCAUAAUCAUCAUAGGCUAGCUUCUAGGGUUUAGCCUCUAUGAUCUCGUGGUAGAUCAACUCUUGUACUACUCAUAUCAUCAAUAUCAAUCAAGCAAGAAGUAGGGUUUUACCUCCAUCGAGAGGGCUUGAAUCUGGGUAAACACUUUGUCCCUUGCCUCCUAUUACCAUUAGCCUAAGACGCACAGAUCGGGACCCCUUACCCGAGAUCCGCCGGUUUUGACACCGACACCCAUCAAUUGAUGUCAACAUGAGGAGUAGGGAUUGCCAUGCAACGGAUGCCCUAGAGAUAUAAAUGAAUGCUCAACAAAAGAAAACUAGUGGGUGUGCAUCCAACUUGCUUGCUCACGAAGACCUAGGGCAUUUGAGAAAGCCCAUCGUAGGAAUAUACAGGCCAAGUUCUAUAAUGAAAAAUUCCCACUAGUAUAUGAAAGUGACAACUAUGAGACUCACUAUACGAAAACAUGGUGCUACUUUGAAGCACAAUAUAUGAGACUCACUACAUGAAGAACAAGGUGCUACUUUGAAGCACAAGUGUGGAAAAAGAGAUAGUAACAUUGCCCCUUUUAUAUUUUUUCUUUUUUUUCUUUUUUUUCUUUUUUUUCUUUUUUUCUUUGGCCUUUUUUUUGCCUUCCUUUUUUUUCUUUUUGGGCAAUGCUCUAAUAAUGAUGAUCAUCACACUUUCAUUGAUUACAACAUAUGAAUUACAACUCGAAAUUAGAACAAGAUAUGACUCUAUAUGAAUGCCUCCGGCGGUGUACCGGGAUGCUGCAAUGAAUCAAGAGUGACAUGUAUGAAAAUUAUGCAAGGUGGCUUUGCCACAAAUACGAUGUCAACUACAUGAUCAUGCAAUGGCAAUAUGACAAAAGUAAAGUAUGUCAUGAUGAUGAUGAACAGAACGGUGGAAAGUUGCAUGGCAAUAUAUCUCGGAAUGGCUAUGGAAAUGCCAUAAUAGGUAGGUAUGGUGGCUAUUUUGAGGAAGAUAUAAGGAGGUUUGUGUGUGAUAGAGCGUAUCAUAUCACGGGGUUUGGAUGCACCGGCGAAGUUUUCACCAACUCUCAAGGCGAGAAAGGGCAAUGCACAGUACCGAAGAGGCUAGCAAUGGCGGAAAGGUAAAAGUGCGUAUAAUCCAUGGACUCAACAUUAGUCAAAAGAACUCAUAUACUUAUUGCAAAAAUUUAGAAGUCAUCAAAAAUCAAGCACUACGCGCAUGCUCCUAGAGGGAUAGAUUGGUAGAAAAAGACCAUCGCUCGUCCCCAACCGCCACUCAUAAGGAUUCACAAGCCAGGUACACUUCGUGUUUCAAAUUUGUUACACAACUUUAACCAUACGUGCAUGCUACGGGACUUGCUAACUUCAACACAAGUAUUCUUUAAAUUCAUAAUCACCCAACUAGCAUGACUUUAAUAUCACUACCUCCCUAUCUCAAAACAAUUAUCAAGUAUCAAAUCGAUCAUAGCAUCCAAUUCACUUUCUAUGAUAGUUUUUAUUAUACCCAACUUGGAUGCCUACCAUUCUAGGACCAAUUUUAUAACCAUAGCAAAUAACAUACUGUUCUAAAAGACUCUCAAAAUAAUAUAAGUGAAGCAUGAGAGAUUAGCAAUUUCUACAAAAAUAAGCCACCGCCGUGCUCUAAAAGAUAUAAGUGAAGCACUAGAGCAAAAACUAUCAAGCACAAAAGAUAUAAGUGAAGCACAUAGCAUAUUCUAAUAAAUUCAAUCAAGUAGGCUUCUCCCAAAAAGGUGUGUACAGCAAGGAUGAUUGUGGUAAACUAUAAAGCAAUGACUAAUAUAAUACACGACGCUCCAAGCAAAACACAUAUCAUGUGGCGAAUAAAAAUAUAGCUCCAAGUAAAGUUACCAAUGAACGAAGAUGAAAGAGGGGAUGCCUUCCCGGGGCAUCCCCAAGCUUAGGAUUUUGGCUAUCUUGAAUAUAUUGGGGUGCCUUGGGCAUCCCCAAGCUUAGGCUCUUGCCACUCCUUAUUCCAUAGUCCAUCAAAGCCUUACCCAAAACUUGAAAAUUUCACAACACAAAACUCAACAGGAAAUCUUAUAAGCUCCGUUAGUGAAAGAAAACAAAAUCACCACAUAAGGUACUGUAAUGAACUCAUUCUUUAUUUAUUUUGGUGUUAAACCUACUGUAUUCCAACUUCUCUAUGGUUUAUAAACUAUUUUACUAGACAUAGAUGCAUCAAAAUAAGCAAACAACACACGAAAAACAGAAUCUGUCAAAAACAGAAUAGUCUGUAGCAAUCUGUAACUAACACAAACUUAUGGAACUCUAAAUAUCCUACCAAAAUAGGAAGUCCUGGAAAAUUUGUCUAUUGAUCAGCAGCAAAACGAAUCAACGCAAAAGCACGUUUCUGUGAUUUAACAAAACUAAAUUUGUGCACCUAAAGUUUCUGCUUUUCAACAGAAUCAAAUCAACUAUCAUCGUAGGUUAUCCUAUAGGUUCUACUUGGCACAAACACUAAUUAAAAGACAAAAAUACAUCUAAACAGAAGCUACAUGCAAGAUUUAUUACUAAACAGGAACAAAAACAAACAAACACAAAUAAAAUUGGGUUGCCUCCCAACUAGCGCUAUCGUUUAACGCCCCUAGCUAGGCAUAAAAGCGAAGAUAGAUCUAAGUAGUGCCAUCUUUGGCACUAAAUUCAUAAGUAGCUCGCAUGAUAGAUUCAUGAGGUAAUUUGACUUUCUUUCUUGGAAAGUGCUCCAUGCCUUUAUUUAAUGGAAAUUGGAAUCUAAUAUUCCCUUCCUUCAUAUCAAUUAUCGCACCAAUCGUUCUAAGGAAAGGUCUACUAAGAAUAAUAGGGCAAGAAAGAUUGCAAUCUAUAUCAAGAACGAUAAAAUCUACGGGCACCAAAUUUCUAUUUGCAACAAUGAGAAGAUCAUAGAUCCAUCCCAUUGGCUUUUUAAUGGUGGAAUCUGCAAGGUGCAAAUUUAAAGAGCAAUCAUCAAGAUCGUGGAAACCUAGAAUAUCACAUAAAGUUUUCGGAAUUGUGGAAACACUAGCACCCAAAUCACACAAAGAAAAACACUCAUGAUCUAUAAUUCUAAUCUUUAUAGUAGGUUUCCACUCAUCAUUAAGUUUUCUAGGUAUAGAAACUUCCAAAUUAAGUUUUUCAUCAUAAGAUUGCAUCAAGGCAUCAACAAUAUGUUUGGUAAAGCUUUAUUUUGACUAUAAGCAUGAGGAGAAUUAACAACGGAUUGCAACAAGGAAAUACAACCUUCUAAAGAACAAUUAUCAUAAUCAAAUUCCUUGAAAUCCGAGAUAGUGGGUUCAAUACUAUUUAAAGUCAUGACCUCUCCAAUCCCACUUUUACCAAAUUUAGCAUCAAGAUCUAAAAACUCCGACUUCUUGGGACGCCUUCUAGGUAAAGUUGACUCAUCUUUAGUCCCAUUAUUAUCAAGAUUCAUAUUGCAAAACAAAGAUCUAAUAGGAGACACAUCAAUAACUUUAAGAUCUUCAUCAUUAUUUUCAUGGAAACUAGAAGAACACGCUUUUACAAAGCAAUCUUUCUUAGCACGCAAUCUAGCGGUUCUUUCCUUGCACUCAUCAAUGGAAAUUCUCAUUGCUUUGAGAGACUCAUUGAUAUCAUGCUUAGGAGGAGAAUAUCUAAGUUUAAGAGAAUCAACAUCAAGUGAAAGUCUAUCAACGUUCCUAGCCAAAUCAUCAACUUUGAGCAAUUUUUCUUCAAGCAAAGCAUUAAAAUUCUUUUGAGAAAUCAUAAAUUCUUUCACACUAUUCUCAAAAUCAGAGGGCAUCUUAUUAAAAUUACCAUAAGAAUUAUUGUAGGAAUUUCCAUAAUUAUUAGAGGAAUUACUAGGGUCUAGCAUUAAAGUUUCCUCUAUAAGCAUUGUUUCCAAAACUAUUCCUACCAACAAAAUUCACAUCCAUAGAUUCAUUAUUAUUCUCAAUCAAAGUAGACAAAGUCAUAUCAUUGGGAUCAAGAGGAGUAUUUUUAGUAGCAAACAAUUUCAUAAGUUCAUCCAUCUUUCCACUCAAAACAUUGAUUUCUUCUAUAGCAUGCACUUUUUUACUAGAAGAUCUUUCGGUGUGCCAUUGAGAAUAAUUAGCCAUAAUAUUAUCAAGAAGUUUUGUAGCAUCUCCUAAUGUGAUUUCCAUAAACGUGCCUCCUGCAGCCGAAUCUAAGAGAUUUCUAGAAGCAAAGUUCAAACCGGCAUAAAUUUUUUGUAUGAUCAUCCAUAAAUUCAAACCAUGAGUAGGGCAACUGCGAAUCAUCAAUUUCAUUCUUUCCCAAGAUUGGGCAACAUGCUCAUGAUCAAGUUGUUUAAAAUUCAUAAUAUCGUUCCUAAGAGUGAUGAUCUUAGCGGGAGGAAAAUACUUAGAGAUAAAAGCAUCUUUGCACUUGUUUCAAGAAUCAAUACUAUGUUUAGGCAAAGACGAAAACCAAACUUUAGCAUGAUCUCUAAGUGAAAAUGGAAAUAACUUCAAUUUAAGAAUAUCAUUAUCCGUAUCUUUCUUCUUUUGCAUAUCACACAAAUCAACAAAGUUGUUUAGAUGAGUAGCGGCAUCUUCACUAGGAAGACCGGCGAAUUGAUCUUUCAUAACAAGAUUCAGCAAAGCAGUAUUGAUUUCACAAGACUCAACAUCAUUAAGAGGAGCAAUUGGAGUACUAAGGAAAUCAUUUUGGUAUUCAAGAAAUCACACAAUUUGGUAUUAUCUUGCACCAUGGCAACAAGUAAUCCAACACACAAGCAAACAGAAAAAGGCAAGCGAAAGAGAGAGAAGAUUGGGAAAGAGAGGGCGAAUAAAACGGCAAGGGUGAAGUGGGGGAGAGGAAAAUGAGAGGCAAAUGGCAAAUAAUGUAAAUGCAAGGGAGAUGGGUUUGUGAUGGGUACUUGGUAUGUCUUGACUUGAGCGAAGACCUCCCCGGCAACGGCGCCAGAAAUCCUUCUUGCUAUGUCUUCAGCUUGCAUUGGUUUUUCUUGAAGAGGAAAGGGUGAUGCAGCAAUAGUAGCAUAAGUAUUUCCCUCAGUUUUUGAGAACCAAGGUAUCAAUCCAGUAGGAGGCUCCUCAAAAGUACCACGCACCUACACAAACAAACAAAGAACUCACAACCAACGCAAUAAAGGGGUUGUCAAUCCCUUCAUGGCCACUUGCGAAAGUGAGAUCUGAUAGAGAUAGUAUGUAACAUCCCAAAAUUCUAAAUUUUGGAAUGUUAUAAUAAAUAGAUAGUUUUGAUUGAUUGUUUGAUUGAUUGACUGAAAGUGAGUGAAUUUGAAACUUUUUGAAAGUUAAAUGAGAGGGAAUAAAAGGACUUUCCCAAACUUUCAUUUUUGCUUUUAUGAUCUUCGUAAAUUCAAAUUCUUUUCAAAUACAAAACCCUUGAGCGAAGAUGAUAUGACUUCUUCCAUUUUAUUAAAUGAAAGGGUAUUAGAAAAUAUUUGAAUUUCAUUUGGAACAUAUUUCCAACCCAUGAACUUUAUGCAACUCAAUGAUUUUCACGAGCGAAGAUAAAAUGACUUCUUCAAAACAUAUGAAAUAUGAGUUGGGAGUUUUAAAGAAUUAAAUUCAAAGUUCUUUUGAGUUUAUUUUUCGAUUUGGAGUUAUUUGAGUUUUAUUCAAAUUAUUUUUCUCCAAAAAUAAAAUAUAUGGAAAAUAGGGUAACUUGAUUCCCUACAUCAGAAAAUUGGAGAGAAAUAAAUUUGACUUCAUUUUGGUAUUUUUAAAAUGAUUUUCGUUGGAGUUUAUUAGAGUAGCAGCAGUGUUUGAUUUAUCUGAAUUAGUGUACAUCUUAUUUGAUGCUAUAAAAAUGUUCAAGUCGUAGAAAAUCUUUUUCUGAAAAUUUUGAUAUAUUAUAUGCCUAUAGUAUUUUUUUUGUUUUUUGGUUUUAUUUUAUUUUCUGAAAAUUUGUUUAAAAAAAAGACCUUUCCACCGAACUGGGCCGGCCUCGCUCCUCAGCCAGGCCCAGCCCAGCCGAGCCGCUCGCCCCCGACCUCGGACUCCCGAGCGGGAGACCGCCGCCGCCACGACAGCGCCACCGCCGUCGUGUCCUUCACGGACUCCGCCUCCCGCGCCGCCUUGCCUUGCCCCUCCUCCACGCCUUGCGCCUUCCCUCCCCUCCUUAAAUAGCGGCUCCGGGCCCGCCUCUCUCUCUGCCGCGCCGCGUCGCCCCUCCCGCAUCUCGCCGCCGCCGCUGCUGCCAGAUCCACACCGCCGUCGCCGCCGCAGCAGCGCCUCGCCGCCGCACCGCCCCGCGCCAUCUCCCACCGCUGCCGUCGCCUCGCCGUUGACCGCCGCCGGCCAACCCCGUUUAGCCGGUAAAAAACCGCCCCAGUCUGGUCUAAUCUUUUGGUUUUCCUCGGUUUUAUCUUAAAAGCGGUUUUUCCUUUUUAGUUAGAUCUAUUUAGUGGUCGUUCGUUAGUUAGGGUCUGGUAGCGAAUGAUUUUCGUUCGUUAGAGUUCUGUAACGAACGUUCGUUCUUUAGUUUUUAUCUUUUGUUUUAAUUUCGGCCAGGGACCCGUUUGUGAUUAGUUUAUUUUUAAAAUAGCCCCUGAUCUUCAAACGCCCACAACUUUUUACUCGUUUGUCCAAAUUCAACGAAACAAACGCCCACUUCUUCGUUAUGAUCCCCUCUAUCCAGUAAUCCAACUCAAACAUGUUUUUGAAAGUUUAAAAUUUGAAUUAGAUCAGAUUUGUAUUUGAACUUCGUUUGAUCGUAACUUGAGUUUCGUAGCGCCGUUUGAGUUGAUUCUUUUUGCAAAGCGAAGCUCUUGACCUAGACUUUCUGAUAAGGCCAAAUUCACAUAAUUUUGGUACUGUUAGAAAUUGUUUUAUGUUGCAAGAGUUAUUUGCUUGGUUUUGAUGUUUUCCGAAUUGUUUUCCUCGUUCUUUCCGAUCUUUUGAGUGAUUGCUUAUGUGUGGUUAAUAUUGCUUGCUCACGAUAGAUUGACCGGAGUGUGACGAGUAGAACUAUCAAGAGUUUUGAGUGUGAAUCAUCUUCAUCAACAUUGCAGGCAAGUUCACACUUUGAUCAUACCUUUUCUCAUACCCAGUUUUUAUGCAUUAGAUCAAUCCUCCAAACAAUUGUAUGAUUAGGAUCUGAAUUAAAUUGUGGGUUUUGGGAAGUAGAUUGAGGUAGCACCUAUUACCUGUUUUAUUUUCAAACCCUUGGGGGUUACUUCUAUGUUUGCUUAUUAUGCCAUGCUAUGCUAGUAGACGUGGAUUGGUUGAGUGAAUUUCCAUGACAGAUGUGAGAUUGUUAAUUAAUGGUUUAUUUAAGGUGGCAACUUAAACACACAUCUGGGUGGACUGAGGCACCUGGUUACUCCAGGACUUGCCUGUCUAGGCACCUGGGUUUCCAGGACUUGCCUGUUUUUCUUCGGACCGCCACCCAGGCUCAAAGGGAUCAUGAGAUUAUUCAAACUAGAAAUUUCCAUGUGCAGCCACAAGCCAUUAUGGGCUCUGGCAUAGUUGAUUAAGUCGUGUGAACUCUUACGGGUAGACUAGCAGAUGUAGGGGAAAGUAGGUGUACCGGUCUACCCACAUGUAAGGUGCUAGUGCUUCCUAAAGACUAUGUCUCGGUCAUUCGUUUCUCAAACACUAGUGCGAGAAACCAAACGGAGGAGAUCGAGUCUUGUGGGGAAAAGUGCGCAAACCUCUACAGAGUGUACAAACUAAUCAUGAUUAGCCGUGUCCCCGGUUAUGGACAUCUUGAGUAUCUAGUACUUGAUUUUCCUGUGAAUCUCAUCAUGUUACUUUAAAUAAUUUUGUUGGGUUAAUGAGUACUUUUAAUUGGGAUUGAGAAUGCUGUCAACCAUUCUCAAUGUUUAACAACCACCAUGAUAGUUAAAUAAAUUUAUUCCUUUGUAGUAGGGAAAAAAUUGGCUUUUCGCAAAAACAUUAUAACCAUAGAGCUUUUCCACCAGCCAAAUAUGCAUGUAGUGAUAGCCUUUAUUCAUCAUUGCUGGUGUGAAUUUGCCAGUACAUUCAAUGUACUGACCCUUUGUGGCUGCAACGUCUCAUGUUGCAGGAUCUUACGACGAGUAAGUGAUACGUUAGGGUUACGAUUUCCUAUACUCAACUUUGCCGUUGGUGUUGAUGGGAAUCCACAACCUUGUUACUUCUGCUAUUUGGAUUGAGGUAAUAGUAUUUACGUUAUUUUAUACAUGUAAUUUACCUCUGUUAUAAAUCCUCGAGUACUGUGUGUGUCAGCAUAUCAAGGGGCCCACGAGACAGGGGGCGUGCCCUCCCCUCUCGUGGCCGCUUUGGCUGCUUCUUGACUUGCACUCCAAGUCCUCUAGAUCACGUUCGUUCCAAAAAUCACACUCCCGAAGGUUUCAUUCCGUUUGGACUCCGUUUGAUAUUCCUUUUCUUCAAAAUACUGAAAUAGGCAAAAAAACAGCAAUACGGGCUGGGCCUCCGGUUAGUAGGUUAGUCCCAAAAAUGAUAUAAAUGUGUAAAAUAAAGCCCGUAAACAUCCAAAAGGGGUAAUAUAAUAGCAUGGAACAAUCAAAAAUUAUAGAUACGUUGGGACGUAUCAUGCCCUAUUUAACGUGAAUGCAGCUGCCUCUAAUGCAUAGCCCCAAAACGAUAGUGCUAAAUUGGUAAGUGACAUCGUAGAUAGCACCAUAUCUAAUAAAGUACAGUUACGAAGUUCAGACACACCAUUACGCUGUGGUGUUCCAGGUGGCGUGAAUUGUAAAACUAUUGUGCAUUGUUUUAAAUGAAGGCCAAACUCGUAACUCAAAUAUUCGCCUUCGCGAUCAGAUCGUAGAAACUUCAUUUUCUUAUUACGAUGAUUUUCCACUUCACUCUGAAAUUCUUUGAACUUUUCAAAUGUUUCAGACUUAUGUUUCAUUAAGUAGAUAUACCAAUAUCUACUUAAAUCAUCUAUGAAGGUCAAAAAAUAACGAUACCCGCCAUGUGCCUCAACACUCAUCGGACUGCAUACAUCGGUAUGUAUUAUUUCCAAUAAGUCAUUGGCCCGCUCCAUGUUGGGGAACAUAGUAAUUUCAAAAAAUUCCUACGCGCACGCAAGAUGAUGGUGAUGCAUAGCAACGAGAGGGGAGAGUGUUGUCCACGUACCCUUGUAGACCAAAAGCGGAAGUGUUAGCACAACGCGGUUGAUGUAGUCGUACGUCUUCACGAUCCGACCGAUCAAGUACCGAACGUACGGCACCUCCGAGUUCAGCACACGUUCAUCUCGAUGACGUCCCACGAACUCCGAUCCAGCAGAGCUUUGCGGUAGAGUUCCGUAAGCACGACAGUGUGAUGACGGUGUUGAUGAUGCUACCGACGCAGGGCUUCGCCUAAGCACCGCUAUGAUAUUACCGAGAUGGAAUAUGGUGGAGGGGGGCACCGCACAUGGCUAAGAGAUCAAUGAUCAAUUGUGUGUCUAGAGGUGCCCCCCUGCCCCCGUAUGUAAAGGAGCAAGGGGGAGGCUCGCCGGCCCCUGUAGGGCGCGCCAGGAGGAGGAGUCCUCCUCCUAGUAGGAGUAGGAAUCCCCUUUCCUAGUCCUACUAGGAGGAGGAAAGGAAGGAGGAGCGGGAGAAAGAAGGAGAGGGAGGAAAAAGAGGAAAGGGGGGUCGCCCCCCUAGUCCAAUUCCGUUUGGGCUAGGGGAGCCGCAUGCCCUGCCUUCUCUCUUCCACCACUUGGCCCAUGAGGCCCAUUACUUCUUCCUCAUAUUCCCGUAACUCCCCGGUACCCCGAAAAAUACAUGAAUCACUCAGAACCUUUUCGAUGUCCGAAUAUAGUCAUCCAAUAUACCAAUCUUUAUGUCUCAACCAUUUCGAGACUCCUCGUCAUGUCCCCGAUCUCAUCCGGGACUCCGAACUACCUUCGGUACAUCAAAACACAUAAACUCAUAUUACCAAUCGUCACCGAACGUUAAGCGUGCGGACCCUACGGGUUCUAGAACUAUGUAGACAUGACUGAGACACGUCUCCGGUCAAUAACCAAUAGCGGAACCUGGAUGCUCAUAUUGGCUCCUACAUAUUCUACGAAGAUCUUUAUUGGUCAAACCGCAUAACAACAUACGUUGUUCCCUUUGUCAUCGGUAUGUUACUUGCCCGAGAUUCAAUCGUCGGUAUCUCAAUACAUAGUUCAAUCUCGUUAUCGGCAAGUCUCUUUACUCGUUAUGUAAUGCAUCAUCCCGCAACUAACUCAUUAGUCACAUUGCUUGCAAGGCUUAUAGUGAUGUGCAUUACCGAGAGGGCCUAGAGAUACCUCUCCGACAAUCGGAGUGACAAAUCCUAAUCUCGAAAUACGCCAACUCAAUAUGUACCUUCGGAGACACAUGUAGAGCUCCUUUAUAAUCACCCAGUUGCGUUGUGAUGUUUGGUAGCACACAAAGUGUUCCUCCGGUAAACGGGAGUUGCAUAAUCUCAUAGUCAUAGGAACAUGUGUAAGUCAUGAAGAAAGCAAUAACAACAUACUAAACGAUCAAGUGCUAAGCUAACGGAAUGGGUCAAGUCAAUCACAUCAUUCUCAUAAUGAUGUAAUCCUGUUAAUCAAAUGACAACUCAUGUCUAUGGUUAGGAAACACAACCAUCUUUGAUUCAACGAGCUAGUCAAGUAGAGGCAUACUAGUGACAUUAUGUUUGUCUAUGUAUUCACACAUGUACUAAGUUUCCGGUUAAUACAAUUCUAGCAUGAAUAAUAAACAUUUAUCAUGAAAUAAGGAAAUAAAUAAUAACUUUAUUAUUGCCUCUAGGGCAUAUUUCCUUCAGUCUCCCACUUGCACUAGAGUCAAUAACCUAGUUCACAUCACCAUGUGAUUUAACACUAAUAUUCACAUCUGUAGGUGAUUAACACCCAUAGUUCACAUCGUCAUGUGACCAACACCCAAAGGGUUUACUAGAGUCAAUAAUCUAGUUCACAUCGAUAUGUGAUUAACACCCAAAGAGUACUAAGGUGUGAUCAUGUUUUGCUUGUGAGAGAAGUUUAGUCAACGGGUCUGUCACAUUCAGAGCCGUAUGUAUUUUGCAAAAUAUUCUAUGUCUACAAUGCUCUGCACAGAGCUACUCUAGCUAAUUGCUCCCACUUCCAAUAAGUAUCCAGAUUGAGACUUAGAGUCAUCUAGAUUGGUGUAAAAGCUUGCACCGAUGUAACUCUUUACGACAAACUCUUUUAUCACCUCCAUAAUCGAGAAACAUUUCCUUAGUCCUCACUAAGGAUAUUCUUAACCGUUGUCCAGUGAUCUACUCUUAGAUCAAAAUUGUAUUCCCUUGCCAAACUCAGAGCAAGGUAUACAAUAGGUCUGGUACACAGCAUAGCAUACUUUAUAGAACCUAUGACUGAGGCAUAGGGAAUGACUUUUCAUUCUCUUUCUAUUUUCUGCCAUGGUCAGGUUUUGAGUCUUACUCAACUUCACACCUUGCAACACAGGCAAGAACUCCUUCUUUGAUUGUUCCAAUUAGAACUACUUCCAAAUCUUAUCAAGGUAUGUACUCAUUGAAAAAUCUUAUCAAGCAUCUUGAUCUAUCUCUAUAGAUCUUGAUGCUCAAUGUGUAAGCAGCUUCACUGAGGUCUUUCUUUUGAAAAACUCUUAUUCAAGUAUCCUUUUAUGCUAUCCAAAAUUUGUAUAUCAUUUCCAAUCAACAAUAUGUCAUCUACAUAUAGUUUUAGAAAUGCUACAGAGCUCCCACUCACUUUCUUGUAAAUACAGGCUUCUCCAAAAGUCUGUAUAAAACCAUAUGCUUUGAUCAACUCAUCAAAGCAUAUAUUCCAACUCCGAGAUGCUUGCACCAGUCCAUAGAUGGAUCGCUGGAGCUUGCACAUUUUGUUAGCACCUUUAGGAUUGACAAAACCUUCUGGUUGCAUCAUAUACAACUCUUCUUUAAUAAAUCCAUUAAGGAAUGCAGUUUUGACAUCUAUUUGCCAGAUUUCAUAAAACGUGCCAAUUGCUAACAUGAUUCGGACAGACUUAAGCAUCGAUAUGAGUGAGAAAAUCUCAUCGUAUUCAACACCUUGAACUUGUCGAAAAAACUUUUGCCACAAGUCGAGCUUUGUAGAUAGUAACACUACUAUCAGCGUCUGUCUUCCUCUUGAAGAUCCAUUUAUUUUCUAUGGCUUGCCGAUCAUCGGGCAAGUCCGCCAAAGUCCACAAUUUUUUCUCAUAUAUGGAUCCCAUCUCAGAUUUCAUGGCCUUCAAGCCAUUUCGCGGAAUCUGGGCUCAUCAUCGCUUCCUCAUAGUUCAUAGGUUCAUCAUGGUCUAGUAACAUGACUUCCAGAAUAGGAUUACUGUACCACUCUGGUGCGGACUGUACUUUGGAAGACCUACGAGGUUCUGUAGUAACUUAAUCUGAAGUUUCAUGAUCAUCAUCAUUAGCUUCCUCACUAGUUGGUGUAGGAAUCACUGGAACUGAUUUCUGUGAUGAACUACUUUCCAAUUCGGGAGAAGGUACAAUUACCUUAUCAAGCUCUACUUUCCUCCCACUUACUUCUUUCGAGAGAAGCUCCUUCUCUGGAAAGGAUCCAUCUUAGCAACAAAUAUCUUGCCUUCGGAUCUGUGAUAGAAGGUGUACCUAACAGUUUCCUUUGGGUAUUCUAUGAAGACGCACUUCUCCGAUUUGGGUUCGAGCUUAUCAGGUUGAAACUUUUUCACAUAAGCAUCACAGCCCCAAACUUUAAGAAACGACAACUUUGGUUUCUUGCCAAACCAUAGUUCAUAAGGCGUCGUCUCAAUGGAUUUUGAUGGUGCCCUAUUUAAAGUGAAUGCAGUUGUCUCUAAUGCAUAACCCCAAAACGAUAGUGGUAAAUCGGUAAGAUACAUCAUAGAUCGCACUAUAUCCAAUAAAGUGCGGUUACGACGUUCGGACACACCAUUACAUUGUGGUGUUCCAUGUGGCGUGAGCUGUGAAACUAUUCCACAUUUUUUUAAAUGAAGGCCAAACUCGUAACUCAAAUGUUCUCCUCUACGAUCAGAUUGUAGAAACUUUAUUUUCUUGUUAUGAUGAUUCUCCACUUCACUUUUGAAAUUCUUUGAACUUUUCAAAUGUUUCAGACUUGUGCUUCAUUAAGUAGAUAUACUCAUAUCUUCUCAAAUCAUUUGUGAAGGUCAGAAAACAACGAUACUCGCCAUGAGCAUCAACACUCAUUGGACCGCAUACAUCGGUAUGUAUUAUUUCCAACAAGUCAGUAGCUCAUUCCAUUGUUCCGGAGAACAGAGUUUUAGUCAUCUUGCCCAAAAGGCAUGGUUCGCAAGCAUCAAAUGAUUCAUAACCAAGUGAUUCCGAAAAUCCAUCUUUAUGGAGUUUCUUCAUGCGCUUUACACAGAUAUGACCCGAACGGCAAUGCCACAAAUAAGUUGCACUAUCAUCAUUAACUUUGAAUCUUUUGGCGUCAAUAUUAUGAAUAUGUGUAUCACUACGAUCGAGAUCCAAGAAACUAUUUUCAUUGGGUAUAUGACCAUUGAAGGUUUUAUUCAUGUAAACAGAACAACAACUAUUCUCUGACUUUAAAUGAAUAAUUGUAUUGCAAUAAACAUGAUCAAAUCAUAUUCAUGCUCAACGCAAACGCCAAAUAACAUUUAUUUAGGUUUAAUAGUAAUCUCGAAAGUAUAGGGAGUGUGCGAUGAUGAUCAUAUCAAUCUUGGAACCACUUCCAACACACAUCAUCACUUCACCCUCAACUAGUCUCUGUUUAUUUUGUAACUCCUGUUUCGAGUUACUAAUCUUUUUAGCAACCGAACAAGUAUCAAAUACUCAGGGGCUACUAUAAACACUAGUAAGGUACACAUCAAUAACCUGUAUAUCAAAUAUACCAUUGUUCACUCUGCCAUCCUUCUCAUCCACCAAAUAUUCAGGGCAUUUCCGCUUCCAGUGACCAUUUCCUUUGCAGUGUAAGCACUCAGUUUCAGGCUUUGGUCUAGAUUUGGGCUUCUUUGCGGGAGUGACAACUUGCUUGUCAUUCUACUUGUAGUUCCCUUUCUUUCCCUUUGCCCUUUUCUUGAAACUAGUGGUCUUGUCAAUCAUCAACACUUGAUGCUCUUUCUUGAUUUCUACCUUCGUCGAUUUCAACAUCACGAAGAGCUCGGGAAUCGUUUUCGUCAUCCCUUGCAUACUAUAGUUCAUCACGAAGUUCUAGUAACUUUGUGAUGGUGACUAGAGAACUCUGACAAUCACUAUCUUAUCUGGAAGAUUAACUCCCACUUGAUUCAAGCGAUUGUAGUACCCAGACAAUCUGAGCACAUGCUCACUAGUUGAGCAAUUCUUCUCCAUCUUUUAGCUAUAGAACUUGUUGGAGACUUCAUAUCUCUCAACUCGGGUAUUUGCUUGAAAUAUUAACUUUAACUCCUGGAACAUCUCAUAUGGUCCAUGACGUUCAAAACAUCUUUGAAGUCCCGAUUCUAAGCCGUUAAGCAUGGUGCACUAAACCAUUACGUAGUCAUCAUAUUGAGCUGGCCAAACAUUCAUAACGUCUGCAUCUGCUCCUGCAAUAGGUCUGUCACCUAGCGGUGCAUCAAGGACAUAAUUCUUCUGUGCAACAAUGAGGAUAAACCUCAGAUCACAGACCCAGUCCGCAUCAUUGCUACUAUCAUCUUUCAACUUAGUUUUCUCUAGGACCACAUAUAAAACAUAUGGAAGCAACAAUGCGAGCUAUUGAUCUACAACAUAAUUUGCAAAAUACUAUCAAGACUAAGUUCAUCAUAAAUUAAAGUUCAAUUAAUCAUAUUACUUAAGAACUCCCUCUUAGAUAGACAUCCCUCUAAUCAUCUAAGUGACCACGUGAUCCAAAUCAACUAAACCAUGUCCGAUCAUCACGUGAGAUGGAGUAGUUUUCAAUGGUGAACAUCACUAUGUUGAUCAUAUCUACUAUAUGGUUCACGCUCGACCUUUCGGUCUCAGUGUUCUGAGGCCAUAUCUGCAUAUGCUAGGCUCGUCAAGUUUAACCUGAGUAUUCUGCAUGUGUAAAAUUGUCUUACACCUGUUGUAUUUGAAGGUAGAGCUUAUCACACCCGAUCAUCACAUGGUGUCUCAGCACAAAGAACUUUCGCAACGGUGCGUACUCAGGGAGAACACUUAUACCUUGAAAUUUAGUGAGAGAUCAUCUUAUAAUGCUAUCGUCAAUCAAGAAAAUAAGAUGCAUAAAGGAUAAACAUCACAUGCAAACAAUAUAAGUAAUAUGAUAUGGCCAACAUCAUCUUGUGCUUGUGAUCUCCAUCUCCGAAGCACCAUCAUGACCACCAUCGUCACCGGCGCGACACCUUGAUCUCCAUUGUAGCAUCGUUGUUGUCUCGCCAACUAUUGCUUCUAUGACUAUCGCUACUGCUUAGUGAUAAAGUAAAGCAAUUACAGGGCGAUUACAUUGCAUACAAUAAAGCGACAACCAUAUGGCUCCUGCUAGUUGCCGAUAACUUUGUUACAAAACAUGAUCAUCUCACACAGUAAAAUUUAGCAUCAUGUCUUGACCAUAUCACAUCACAACAUGCCCUGCAGAAACAAAUUAGACGCCCUCUACUUUGUUGUUGCAAGUUUUACGUGGCUGCUACAGGCUGAGCAAGAACCGUUCUUACCUACGCAACAAAACCACAACGAUAGUUCGUCAAGUUAGUGAUGUUUUAACCUUCUCAAGGACCGGGCGUAGCCACACUCGGUUCAACUAAAGUUGGAGAAACUGACACCCGCCAGCCAGCUAUGUGCAAAGCACGUCGGUAGAACCAGUCUCGCGUAAGCGUACGCGUAAUGUCGGUCCGGGCCCUUCAUCCAACAAUACUGCCGAACCAAAGUAUGACAUGCUGGUAAGCAGUAUGACUUGUAUCGCCCACAACUCACUUGUGUUCUACUCAUGCAUAUAACAUCUACGCAUAAAACCAGGCUCAGAUGCCACUGUUGGGGAAUGUAGUAAUUUCAAAAAAAUUCCUACGCACAUGCAAGAUCAUGGUGAUGCAUAGCUGCACAGAAGAAUUAUGUCCUUGAUGCACCGAUCAAGUACCGAAUGUAUGGCACCUCCGAGUUCAGCACACGUUCAGCUCGAUGAUCUCCCACGAACUUCGAUCCAACAGAGCUCUGCGGUAGAAUUCCGUCAGCACAACGGCGUGAUGACGGUGUUGAUGAUGCUACCGACGCAGGGCUUCGCCUAAGCACCGCUAUGAUAUUACCGAGGUGGAAUAUGGUGGAGGGGGGCAGCGCACACGGCUAAGAGAUCAAUGAUCAAGUGUGUCUAGAGGUGCCCCUCUGCCCCCAUAUAUAAAGGAGCAAGGGGGGAGGCCGGCCGGCCCCUGUAGGGCGCGCCAGGAGGAGGAGUCCUCCUCCUAGUAGGAGUAGGACUCCCCUUUCCUAGUCCUACUAGGAGGAGGAAAGGAAGGAGGAGAGGGAGAAAGAAGGAGAGGGGGGAAAGAGGAAAGGGGGCCGCCCCCCUAGUCCAAUUCGGUUUGGGCUAGGCGAGCCGCGCGCCCUGCCUUCUCUCUUCCAUCACUUGGCCCAUGAGGCCCAUUAUUUCUUCCUUGUAUUCCUGUAACUCCCCGUUACCCCGAAAAAUACCCGAAUCACUCGGAACCUUUCCGAUGUCCGAAUAUAGUCGUCGAAUAUAUCGGUCUUUACGUCUCGACCAUUUCGAGACUCCUCAUCAUGUCCCCGAUCUCAUCCGGGACUCCGAACUACCUUCGGUACAUCAAAACACAUAAACUCAUAUUACCAAUCGUCACCGAACGUUAAGCGUGCGGACCCUACGGGUUCGAGAACUAUGUAGACAUGACCGAGACACGUCUCCGGUCAAUAACCAAUAGCGGAACCUGGAUGCUCAUAUUGGCUCCUACAUAUUCUACAUAGAUCUUUAUCGGUCAAACCGCAUAACAACAUACGUUGUUCCCUUUGUCAUCAGUAUGUUACUUGCCCGAGAUUCGAUCGUCAGUAUCAAGAUACCUAGUUCAAUUUCGUUACCGGCAAGUCUCUUUACUAGUUAUGUAAUGCAUCAUCCCGCAACUAACUCAUUAGUCACAUUGCUUGUAAGGCUUAUAGUGAUGUGCAUUACCGAGAGGGCCCAGAGAUACCUCUCCGACAAUCGGAGUGACAAAUCCUAAUCUCGAGAUACGCCAACUCAACAUGUACCUUCAGAGACACCUGCAGAGCUCCUUUAUAAUCACCCAGUUAUGUUGUGACGUUUGGUAGCACACAAAGUGUUUCUCCAGUAAACGGGAGUUGCAUAAUCUCAUAGUCAUAGGAACAUGUAUAAGUCAUGAAGAAAGCAAUAGCAACAUACUAAACAAUCAAGUGCUAAGCUAACGGAAUGGGUCAAGUCAAUCACAUCAUUCUCCUAAUGAUGUAAUCUCAUUAAUCAAAUGACAACUCAUGUCUAUGGUUAGGAAACACAACCAUCUUUGAUUCAACGAGCUAGUCAACUAGAGGCAUACUAGUGACAUUAUGUUUGUCUAUGUAUUCACACACGUACUAAGUUUCCGGUUAAUACAAUUCUAGCAUGAAUAAUAAACAUUUAUCAUGAAAUAAGGAAAUAAAUAAUAAGUUUAUUGUUGCCUCUAGGGCAUAUUUCCUUCACUCCAUUGUGCCGGAGAACGGAGUUUUAGUCAUCUUGCCCCUGAGGCAUGGUUCGCAAGUAUCAAAUGAUUCAUAAUGAAGUAAUUCCAGAAGUCAUAAUCAAAAUAUGUGAUAUGAUAUGGCCAUCAUCAUCUUGUGCUUUUGAUCUCUCCAAAGCAUCAUCAUGAUCUCCAUCGUCACCGGCUCGACACCUUGAUCUCCAUCAUUGUGUCGCGGUCAUCUCGCCAACUAUUGCUUCUAUAAUCUUUACCUAAUAAUAAAGAAAAUUGGGUUUCUGGUCGUCCGUCAUUAGAAUUACCCUCGAAGUUGGCAUAAAUUACCCACUAUGCCACCCGUAAGUGGAAACAACGGUUCACUUUUAUUUCAAAAUCGCGCUCGAUUUCGUGUUAUUAGAUGCCGCUACAUUUAUAUGACAGGAUCACCCCCAGUGGCGCAGUGGCUAUGACCGCCGCCCUGCCCUUGGGAGACCAGGGUUCGACUCCUAGGACUACCUCUUUUCUCUCCUUUUUUUCUAUUGCAAGCAUGCAUCCUACCCACACCCAGUAAUUAAUGGGCCGACUCAGCUGUAGGUCGUAGCACACAGUUUUGCUAGUUUGUUUUUCCUUUUUAAUUUCUCAUUUUUUUGUUUUUUCCUUUUUAAAUUAAUUUUUGAUUUAUAAAAUAACCAAAUUUGAAAAAGGUGUGAGUUUAAAAAAAUUGAGAAAUCACAAAUUGUUUGUGAAUUCAAAAAACAUUUAAAAAAUCAUAAAUGAUCACGAUUACAAAAAAUUGUUCGUGUAUUACAAAAAAGAUCACGUUGUCAAAUAAAUGUCAUGAAAUGGGAAAUGUUCAUGCUUUCUAAAAUAAUAGUAUUCAAAACAUUCAGGGGUUUUAAAAAAUGUCAAUGAAAUUUCAGAACAUCUUCAAAAAAUUGAAAUAAAUCCAUAAAUAAUGAGCAUAACGAACCGUCGCUUACGUACAAGUUUUAUUAGGAGAUCCGUAGAGGUUGUUUUAUGAUUUUAUUUAGUCCCUUGCAUCAAGUAAAAAAAGGUUUUCGUAUCUUGUACAACGUCGAGCCCCCCAAAAUUGACAGAACUUUCGGUGGGUUACUUUUGUAAGCUAUAUAAAACUAACUGAAUUUCUAUUUUGCCUCCAUACACAACUAUGUUUAUUCUGGUAUGAUAAUAUUGAUUAUGAGAAACACCACUACGCUGGGUCAGGGUGAGACACAUCAUUCAUCAGUCUAGCUCAAACAGUGGCCAUCAAUGCAGUUUGCUCAGUGAUUUUUUUCCGUUGUGGCGCCUUAGGAGAUCAAGUCGUGAUAAGACCAUCACAUUUUUAAAUGACUUUUUAAAAGUACGUUAUCUCAUCAUGACAUCACUCGGAAAUAGUUUGUGAAAUGACAUUUUAAAAGUCUUUAUCUCAUUCAGGCAUUUGAUUCAGACUUUUUUUAUAUCUAUCACACCUGUAUAAUCUAAUAGUUUUACCCUAAGAAAAAUCUAAUAGUUUUUCUCCCGUUGCAACACACGGGCAAAUUUGCUAGUAUUGCUAAUGCAUAGCGAUAAAGUAAAGCAAUUACAUGGCGUUUGCAUUUCAUACAAUAAAGAGACAACCAUAAGGCUCCUGCCGGUUGCUGAUAAAUUACAAAACAUGAUCAUCUCAUACAAUAACGUUUAUCACAUCAUGUCUUGACCAUAUCACAUCCCAACAUGCCCUGUAAAAACAAGUUAGACAUCCUCUACUUUGUUGUUGCAAGUUUUACGUGGCCACUACGGGCUUCUAGCAAGAACCGUUCUUCCCAACACAAAACCACAACGGUGAUUAUUAAGUUUGCUAUUUUAACCUUUUUGAAGAACCGGCCAUAGUCAAAUCCGAUUCAACUAAAGUAGGAGAAACAGACACCCGCCAGCCACCUUUAUGCAAAACUAGUUGCAUGUCUGUCGGUGGAACCGAUCUCAUGUCCAUGGACAUGUAAGGUUGGUCCGGGCCGCUUCAUCCUACAAUACCGCCGAAUCAAAAUAAGACGUUGGUGUUCCUACUCGUGCAUAUCAUCUACUCAUAGACCUGGCUCGGAUGCCACUGUUGGGAAACGUUGCAUGGAAAACAAAAAAUUCUACGCACAUGCAAUGAUCUAUCCAUGGAGAUGCAUAGAAACGAGGGGGAGAGUGUGUCUUCGUACCCUCAUAGACAGUAAGCGUAAGCGUUUCACAAUGCGGUUGAUGUAGUCGAACUUUCUUCGCGAUCCAACCGAUCGAGUACUGAACGUACGACACCUCCGUGUUCUGUGCACGUUCACCUCGGUGACGUCCCUCACCUUCUUGAUCCAGAAAGACGUCGAGGUAGUAGAUGAGUUCUGUCAGUACGACGGUGUGGUGAUGGUGAUGGUGAAGUGAUAUCCAUAGGGCUUCGCCUAAGCACUACGAAAAUAUGACCGGGGGUGUAAACGGUGGAGAGGAGCGCCGCACACGGCUAACAAUUGAUCUGGGUGUGCUAGGCGCCCCCUCCUCAUAUAUAUAGGUGGGAGGGAGAGGGGAGAGGCCAAGGGGCGCCCCAAGUAGGUCCGAAUCCUACUUGGGCUCCUGCCCUUGGCCGCGCCCCCUGCCAUGUUUGUCGGAGGGGGUAGGAAAGAGGGGGGGGAAGGAAGGGGGAAUCCUAUUCCACUCUUUCCUUUCCCUUCCCCUCUUUCCUUCUCCUCCUAGGCUGGCCCAUAUGGGAUGCGCACCAGCCCCUUGUGGCUGGUGCGUUUCCCCUCUUGGCCCAUAAGGCCCAUAUCUUUUGUUGGGGGUGCCCGGAACCCCUUAUGGCGACCCGAUAAGUACCCGGUACCCCCCGAAACACUCCCGGUGUCCGAAUACCCUCGUACUAUAUAUCAAUAUUUACCUCCCUACCAUUUCAAGACUCCUCUUCAUGUCCGUGAUAUCAUCUGAGACUCCGAACAACGUUUGGUCACCAAAUCACAUAACUCAUAUAAUGCUAUAUCGUCAUCGAAUGUUAAGCGUGCGGACCCUACGGGUUCGAGAACUAUGUAGACAUGACUGAGACACCUCUCCGGUCAAUAACCAAUAGCGGAACCUGGAUGUCCAUAUUGGAUCCUACAUAUUCUACGAAGAUCUCUAUCGGUCGAACUGUUAUGACAACAUACGUAAUUCCCUUUGUCCAUCGUUAUGUUACUUGCCCGAGAUUCGAUAGUCGGUAUCUUCAUACCUAGUUCAAUCUUGUUACCGACAAGUCUCUUUACUCGUUCUGUAAUACAUCACCUCGUGACUAACUCCUUAGUCUUUUGCUUGCAAGCUUAUGAUGUGUAUUACCGAGAGGGCCCAGAGAUACCUCUCCGAUACUCGGAGUGACAAAUCCUAAUCUUGAUCUAUGCCAACUCAAAAAACACCUACGAAGAUACCUAUAGAACAUCUUUAUAAUCACUCAGUUACAUUGUGACAUUUGAUAGCACACAAGGUAUUCCUCCGUUAUCCGGGAGUUGCAUAAUCUCAUAGUCGAAGGAAUAUGUAUUUGACAUGAAGAAAGCAAUAACAAUAAAACUGAACGAUCAUUAGGCUAAGCUAACAGAUGGGUCUUGUCCAUCACAUCAUUCUCCUAAUAAUGUGAUCCCAUUAUCAAAUGAAACUCAUGUCCAUGGUUAGGAAACCUUAACCAUCUUUGAUCAAUGAGCUAGUCUAGUAAAGGCUCACUAGGGACACAAUAUUUGUUUAUGUAUUCACAUAUGUAUUUAGGUUUUCGAUUAAUACAAUUCUGGCAUGAAUAAUAAACCUUUAUCAUGAAUAAGGAAAUAUAAAAUAACAACUUUAUUAUUGCCUCUAAGGCAUAUUUCCUUCAGCACCAAGGCAGGGCAGCCGCCGACCCCUCCCCUGCCAUCUCCUCCACCCCUAAAGAAGGAAAGGGGGGAGGCGCCUAGGGUGGGCGCCCUAAGGCUGGCCGCCGCCCCCCUUGGGGGUGCCCUAGGCUGCCUCCCCUCUCCCUCCACCUAUAUAUAUAUGUGAGGAGGGAGAGGGGCAACACACACCAUGAUCCCAAGCCAUGUGCGACGCCCCUUCUCCCUCUAGUUCUAGUUCCUCCUCUGUCCACAUUCAUUGUGCUUGGCGAAGCCCUGCGGAUAGUUUCAUCACCACCGUCAUCACCACUGUCGUGCUGCCGAAACUCAUCUACUACUUCGCCUCUCUUGCUAGAUCGAGAAGGCAAGGAUGUGAUCGAGCUGAAUGUGUGCUGAACGCGGAGGUGCCGUACGUUCGGUACUUGAUCGGGAUGGAUCGUGAAGGUGUACGACUACAGCAACCACGUUGAUAAACGUUUCCGCUUAGCAAUCUACAAGGGUAUGUAGAUGCUCUCCCCUUCUCAUAGCUAUGCAUCUUCAUGGAUAGAUGUUGCAUGUGCGUAUAAUUUUAUUUUUUCCAUGCAACGUUCCCCAACAGAACUUGGGCAGGAGCACUUUUGCCCUUCGGUGGAGCGAUUCCGCCGGGGGAACUUUCCUCCCAGAGGGGGAAAUCGAAGCCAUCGUCAUCACCAACAACCCUCUCAUAUUUGGGAGGAUAAUCUCCAUCAAUAUCUUCAACAACACCAUCUCAUCUCAAAACUCGUGUUCAUCUCUUGUGUUCAAUCUUUGUACCGGAAUCUCAUAUUGGUACCUGUGGGUGACUAGUAGUGUUAGUUACAUCUUGUAAUUGAUGCUAUAUUGUUUAUUUGGUGAAAGAUUAUAUGUUCAGAUCCAUUAUGCUAUUUAAUAUCCCUCUGAUCUUGAGCGUUAAUAUUAUUUGUGACUAGUUGUCCUUGUUCUUGAGGCCAUGGGGGACAUCAUGUUGCAAGUAAUUAUGUGAAUUUGAUAUUCGUUCAAUAUUUUGAUGAUAUGUAUGUUGUGAUUCCCUUAUUGGUGUUAUGUGAACGUCAACUACAUGUCACUCCACCAUCUUUGGGCCUAAGGGAAUGCAUUGUGGAGUAGUUAUUAGAUGAUGGGUUGCUAGAGUGAUAGAAGCUUAAACCCUAGUUUAUGCGCUAUUUCGUAAGGGGCUGGUUUGGAUCCAUAUGUUUAAUGCUAUUGUUAGAUUGUUAUCUUAAUUCUUCUUUCGUAGUUGCGAAUGCUUGCGAGGGGGUUAUCAUAAGUGGAAGGCUUGUUCAAGUAAGAACAACACCCAAGCACCGGUCCACCCACAUAUCAAAUUAUCAAAAUAGCGAACGCGAACCAAACCAACAUGAUGAGAGUGACAAGAUGAAUUUCUUGUGUGACCUCAAGAACGCUUUACUUAUUAUCUGAGACUGUUCCGAUCUGUCCUUUGCCAUCAAAAGGAUUGGGCUACCUUGCCGCACUUAUUCUUACUAUUGUUACUUGUUACUUGUUAUAGAUUAUGUUGCUAUUAAACUACUUGUUAUCGAUAAUUUCAGUGCUCGCAGAAAUUACCUUGCUGAAUACCAUUUGUCAUUUCCUUAUGCUCCUCGUUGGGUUCGACACUCUUACUUAUCGAAAGGAUUACAUUGAUCCCUAUACUUGUGGGUCAUCAGUCUCACCGCCGGCCUCCUCACGCCGACCUCAUCUUCAUCGUGCGGACCUCCUCUGCUAGAGGUCUCACUGCCGGCCUCCUCGCGCCGAGCUCAAUGCCCAGUGGACCUCCUCCACCGUAGGUCUAACCGUUGGCCUCCUCGCGCCGACUUCAUCUCCCAAUGGACCUCCCUAAUCGGAGGUCUCACCAUGCGAACUCCAUCGCAUGGCCGUCAAUCUACAAAGCUCGCCAUAACCGUCUCGAGGGCCAUGCCUUACCGUUUACAACCAGGUAAUAUCUAUCUAAUUAUCCAUAAAUAUUACCAUGACAAAAAAAUUGUCCAUGUCUGCUAGUACUACCUUUUGCAGAUAAAUCGACCUUGCCCCUGGCGCAUCGUUGGUUCGCCGCUCCGGCCUCAUCGUGCAAUAUCAUCGCGUGACCUCACCGUGCAGGCCUCACAUCGCGCGGGCCUCGCCGCUCCAGCCUCGUCACCCGACGGGCUCAGGCAACACCGCGCGAGCUUCAACACGUGAACAACAAUCCGUGAAACCUCACCUCAACCGGCUUGAGGGCUCCGCCUCGCCUCUUACGGACACAUGCAAUAUUUACUUUAUUUAUUUUUCUCAUCCAUGUCAAAAAUUUAUGAGCAUUAUUUUCUACCAGUAUACUUAUGUAUGUAGAUUACAAUCAGGACAUGGCAGUCUAUGAUACGUGAGGGUACCUACCACCGGAUGGUAGGAUUUACUACCAGUAUUUACAAGAUGUUUGAACUGCCAAAACGUGUUAUAUUUAGAAACAGGAAAUGCAUUUAUAUAUAUACAUAAAUGAGAUCAUUAUAAAUAUAUAUAAUUUUUAAUAAUAAUUAUCAGAUACCUCAAAGUGAGUUGCGUCAAAAUUCUAUUUGAAUCUGUAUUUAUACUUUUUGAGGGGAUACUGAACUAUUUUUACAACGCAAAAAUAACUACGCUGCCUGACUGGGCCUGGUCUAUUUAGGGGCGUGCCCACACACACACAUUGGACCCUAACGGGCCCAACGAACGACCCACACUCGAUACCCCCCAGCCCGCUAGGGUUUUGCUGGCAGGUAUAAAAUACCCCUUCUUCUCCUCUCCCAUUCCUCCCUCCUAUCAACUCGACCACAGAGCGGCGGCGGCGGCGGCGGCGGCAGCGGGGGAGAGAGGAGAGAGCUCCAGCCAUGGUGCACGUCAACUUCUACCGCAACUGUAAGACCGCGCCACGAUCCUCCUGUCUCCUCUACCCUCUUGUGCUCUCUGCUCAACUGUAUUCAGUCAUUUGUGUCUUCGUGCUCGCCGUGAUCUGAUGGGGUGGUGCUCGCAUAGGCGUUGCAGCAAGUUGCUAUCGGUUAGCCUUCUGCUUCCUGCUACGGCAGCGGCUUGCCGCCACGCAGAGCUCAGGGAUCUCUUAGCUGUGGCGUCUUACUUCGGGCAUGGCUGGUGAGAGGUCAGCGAUUCGUAGCCGUGAUGUCUUGCGUGCCGUUGCUGUGAGGGGAGCGGGAAGGUUGAUUAGCGAGUGCAUGAUUUGCGUCGGCGUUUUGCCGUUGUGAGAUGAGAGGUUUGUUUGCAUAAGAUUUUUGGCUUAUCUUUUUAUGGAGUACCUGGAUUUGAGUCGAACCUGGCAUGAGGACUGCGCCCUAGAUCUAAUUAAAGGUGUGUCUUACUUGAGCACUGGACAUUUGUUUACUCUCAGCUCUGUCAGUACGCUCAGUUGAUAGUCUUGUCAGAUUUAAACAAGUUCCUUAUUUCAGGGAUAUUGAUAUGCAGCCCAUAGCCAUCAGGUUUACUGAUAAGUUUAGAAUCAGGCCAGCCUAAGUGAAGUCUAAUUACCUAUAUAUCUGUUUCAUGGUGGAAAUUAUUCACCUCCUACUGUUACUGGUUCUUCAUGUGGGAGCUCUGAAUUUGGUAUAUACUAUGCCACCACUAGAAUAGUCCCAGAAAUGAUGUUUGUGCUUCAUAAUGGAGCCACUUGAUUUUGUUGUAUGCCAUAGCCUAGAUGUUGCAUAUUCUUUUCUGCGAGAGCAUGUAAUUCAUACUACAUACAAGGGUUGUGCAUUUAUUUGUUCACAUGCUUUUAUAUCCUAUGUGCUUUUAAUUAAAUCAGAUCAAUUCUUCUGACUUGAUUACGACCAGAAACUUGUGAAUGUGUUAUUAUAAUUGCCCGCUUUUAAUGCACCUGGGCAUAGUGGCACAUGUGGUCCCACUUUGGACCUGGCAUUUGCUCUAUGCUACAAUUUGCCCAUGUUUGUUAUGUUUUUACUGCAACUCAUGCCUUGUUUCCAUCAAUUUAUUUUCUUAAUAUGUAUUUACUAGUUAAAUGUUUUCUCUUGCAGAUGGUAAGACAUUCAAGAAACCAAGGCGUCCUUAUGAGAAGGAGCGUCUUGAUGCAGAACUGAAGCUGGUUGGUGAGUAUGGAUUGAGGUGCAAGCGUGAGCUCUGGAGGGUUCAGUAUGCAUUGAGCAGGAUCCGUAAUGCUGCAAGACACUUGCUCACACUGGAUGAGAAGAAUCCCCGCCGUAUCUUUGAGGGUGCGGCUCUUCUCCGUCGCAUGAACCGCUAUGGUCUCCUUGCUGAGGGCCAGGAUAAGCUUGAUUACGUCCUUGCCCUGACUGCUGAGAACUUCCUUGCAAGGCGCCUUCAGACUCUUGUCUUCAAGGCUGGCAUGGCAAAAUCCAUCCACCAUGCCCGUGUCUUGAUCAGGCAACGCCACAUCAGGUAUGCUUCUGGUAUAUUUUUCUUGCAAUGCAUGUUUUGGCAUAUGGUUGCAUAAAUUUGCAUAUUGAUCUAGAAAUCUAAAUGGUUUGCACUAGUUUGUUCAAUAUUGGCUACCUAAUACUGGUCUGUUACUGAUUUUUACAUGCAUCUAUGAAUUACAUGCUGGCCUGAUACAGGUUACAUGCAUGUCUGAAUUUUAUCAUCUUUCAGGAUGUACUCUGUUUAUUGUGGCAUGUUCUUUAUGAAAUCUACUGUACUUUCAAUCACUGCACUGCCUAUCUUGUACCAAUGCACAUGUUUAUGGUCUGAUUGCCAUGUCAAUAUUGUAUUUGUGGCAACAUAAUGUUAUUGGUAGGUUGUAUAUCUUGCUAAUACCUCACUAAGCAAAGAUGUUGAACCUGUUUUCUGUAACUGAGAUCAUGUCAAUAUUGUUAGUUUUUGCUUCUUGUGUUAUACUGUUUGUGGUCUGGUUUAUAUGUGGCAUUCACUUUGAGAUUUCAUUGUGAAGUGAUAUCUUCCAUGAAUGUUCCUGCUUGUUCUCUUUGUGAAUGAAUUGUUAAAAUAAUUUUCUUGGAACCAUAUUGCAGGGUUGGCAGGCAGAUCGUCAAUGUCCCGUCGUUCAUGGUGAGGGUUGAAUCUGAGAAGCACAUCGACUUCUCACUGACAAGUCCAUUCGGCGGAGGCCCUGCAGGCAGGGUGAAGAGAAAGAACCAGAAGAAGGCAAGUGGUGGCGGCGACGCCGGUGGUGAUGAGGAAGAGGAAUGAGGAACUAGUAGCUAUCACCUUAUAUUUAUCAAAUGUUGGUGUUAUGAGUACUUUAGCUGAGAGGCCUGAGACUUUCAUGGGUUAUCCUCUUGUCAUUUUGUCACUUUAUCACUGUUGUUAGCAUGUAUGCACUUCUUUAUGUUUGGAGCUAUUUGGUCGUGAUGUUUUCGACUAUGACCUGGAAUUCUCCUUCAAUUGCUUCUGUUGGGGUGGUUGUCUGAUAGUUAGCAAAGGAAUCAACUUAGUAAACGAAUUAACUUUAGUGAUCUAUUUGCUGGUUUGUUUC
This 83415-nucleotide long non-coding RNA is filed under the name Triticum aestivum (bread wheat). Its description in RNAcentral is "long non-coding RNA (TAES_LNC006945)". Lineage: Eukaryota; Viridiplantae; Streptophyta; Magnoliopsida; Poales; Poaceae. The record is from RNAcentral.